UUCUUUUUUUCUCUCUCCUCAUCGUCAGUGCCAGAGUGGUACAUAUGCUAUGCUUGCCCUCCUGACUGCAGACAGGCAGGCAGCCAAACAUUGGAUCGAUCAAUGGGAGAUUAAUUAGUACUAAACUACUGCAAUUAAUCUACAUGGCAUCUUAAGGAAGGACAAACUCGAUCGAUCGAUCCAAAGAUUUAGAUCGUGUUCCUGUUUAGCUACGGAUGAAAGAUGAAAUAUUAUCUGAUGAUAGCUAUUUAAUGAUGUAAAUAACGUAAUUAGCUAUUGUCUUCAUUUUUAUUUAUAUGAUGUUGGUUAGUCAAUUAACCAACGUCAAACAUUCCAGAAUGGAGGGAGUACUACAAAUUUAAAAAUCCACUUUAGAAAGAUGAGAUGAUAAACUACAAUAUAUAUAUAUAUAUAUAUAUAUUAAAACAACCAAAGUUUAAUAAUUAGAGAAACGUGCUAAUAAAAAUUGAGGAAAAAAAAUAGAGAAACACGUAUCAAAACACAUCUAGGAAAGAUAUAUAGAGCUCAUGCAGAGGCAACAACUGCCUUAUUUCCCUAGCUAGCUGGUUGUGCUAAUUAAGAUAUACUACGUCAGUUUCACAAUGUCAUACUUAUUAUUUUUAAUAUAUGCGCUAACGAGUCUAGAUAGAGCAAUAUAUCUUAAUCAAUAGAUAAAUGUAGAUAUAACUAUACCUACGAAAUGGAUCGGGGGAUUAUAUGAUCUUAAUUUCGAAGGGGAUAAACUACUAAUUGCUGGUCAAAUCCAGCUCCAAAUUAGAUUAAUUAUGUGCACUUUCUCGGGCUGAUUUGCUCCGACAUACGCAUGAAAGAGACCGAAUAACUAACUAAUUAACGUCUUGUCUGAACAAGCGUAUUAGGCUAUUCCCAGUAGCAAAUUUCAUUUGUUGUUUCCAAGAUGCCACGUUAGCUCCCUUCCAAUGGACAGAUUCAAUUUUUUUCGGUUAGGCGAACUUGCAUUUAAUUUUUCAUAUGAGCUAUAUAUGGUUGGAUUGGAGAGGGAUAACUUAAAAUGGAUCUAGCUAUGCUCCAACGUUGGUUUCAGUCGGUUUUAAAGUGUUAAAAACGGUCCAUUACCGGUUUCAUCCGAAUGAAACUAAUUUCACAUAUCCUUUCAAUAAAUCUCAUGUCAUGCAUGUCAUCAGUUUAACUGAUAUGUCAUCUUAUUUUAUCGAACAUGAAACCAACAUUGUGAGUGGCCUUGGAACAUAAGUCCACGGGGUUAGCCAUCAAAUUAGGAAACAUAUAUUAAGCUGACAAACUUGCCGGUAGCUCUUUUCACUGAGUGACUACAUGUCAUAGUGCCACCCUUAAUUAACUGGUAAUUAAUUAGGACCACACACCGACACGGCUGCGAUAAUUGUCGGUUAAUUUGACCACACGUACGUACAAGUGCAUGAUGUCCACUGUCUAGGUAUAAACUCAUGCUCCCGAUCGACGCCUGGUCAACACGUAUGGUCGCCAUCCACCAUCGGCAAUGAUCUUAAAAGCCUCUUAAGUAAUCAAUCUAACACUACAAAAGUAACCUAUCUAACCUUUGUUAGUACUUAUUAUUUUAUGUCUGUUUCAGGUUAGAAGAUGUUUUAAGUUUUACUGUAUUAAUUUAUAUAAGUACUAAUGGGUUUGAUAUAUAUAUAUAAAAUAUAUAUUGGUUUAUAAAUAUACAUAAAAAAAAGCAAAAUAUCUUAUAACCUGGAAUAGAGGGAGCGGAGUCUAUGUCCCAUGUGUUUGAGGUGCACCUUCCUGAUCUAAUACUAUAAUCCGGCCACUAAUAGCUAUCUUAAGACAAACAUUAAUUGCUACAAGAUAGUCAAGAUAUUUACCUUUUUUUUGAUACAAAGAUAGAGAUACCUCUCUGAUAAAAUGAGGUAUUCAAUGAUAACUGAAGGUACUUUUUGUAUAUACAUAAUAGUUCUAUUACACCUCAAGAUUGAUGUCUAACACUUCAUCCAUGAUGUCUAAAGGAACUGUGAUACCUGUUCCUUGCAGUACAUCAAGUAACUACGAUACUUGGAUGAUAUCUGCAAUACUUAGUUCCUCAAUAAAGUCAUUAUAGCUGCUUUUAUUGCUUACCUCCUAUUAGACUAGUCUCAAUGCAUAGUUUCAUGGCAUAGUUAUCAAGACUGUAAACUAGGUAAUCAAGCCAGAUGAGUUUCAUGGGGAUUAAACUUCUCUCUCAUCUCAUGAAACUCCCUCAUUUAAUGACCCUUCUAAGUCAGCAAUUUUGCUGAUGGACACUCUAUUUAAUGUGUAUGACAUCCUAUGAAACAUGCAUUGAGACUUGCCUUAGGCCAUGGGUGGGGAGUGGGGAAGAUAAAUGAUCAUCGUGUCAACAUUGACAUCAUAUUCGAUGUGUUAAGGGAAAAGAUAGACUGUCGGGUAAAGGUGAUGAAGAUGAUGUAAACUAGAUUGGGUUGGUAGUAAAUUUGAUUUUGUGAGAGGUCUGAACUAGUGGCGUAUUUUAUUAGUGUUUAUUGAUGUUUUGAGAAGGGAUUUUUAGGAAACCUUCCUUGGGGGUGAAAUGGUUCAAGCCCUUAGUUUUCAUUCGUGUCCGCAAACUAGACAAGAUCAACCUUUGUUAUUUCCAAUUCACAUAAUCUUGAGAUAUCUACAUACAUAAUCUUGUAGGUCCUUUUCAGGGUAACUUAUUGGCUGCGGUUCUGAACACACCUACAAAAGUACGAAGAAAACAAGGAAACUAUUAUAUUUUUUGCUGUUUGCUGGAAGUUGGAGACUUUGGCUAUGUAAGUUUUAGGCACUUUGGUUGGAAAUUCAGCAUUAGAAUUGAAUAAAGCUGGUCUUUUAUAGUGCCUACUGUUUUCUCUUGUUUUUAUCUUAUGUUUAAGCCCAUUAAAUUUUCUGGUGUGUCAAACUAUAAACUAUAUAAUAAUUGGUUGUAACUUCUUUUGAAGUCAAGGCCGAAUUAUCCAUUAUGUAAAAAAAUCUACAUACAUUAUAAUAAUUUGUUCUCAAUCGAUCGAUGGGUCCGUUACUAUAUACUUCAAUGGCCUUCGUGGGCCAGGAACUUAAUUACUACUCCGUACCAUGUUUCUUAAGAAAGAAAAAGGCAAAUGUGUGUGAUUAAGACAAUAUCUAAGGUAACUUUUAGCAACUAUAGCUUGUCACAUAAUAUCUAGCUUCUUCAAGACAAUCCAUAUCCUCACAUGGAAAUUAAACUAAUAUCAGAAGUCGGUAAACCUAUUUUUUCUAUAUUUUUAUCGACUACCUCAUCACGAUGUGCUUUAUCGUGUUAGAAUCGUAAGUUUCCCAAAAACAUGAACGCUCUAUGGCUGGCUGGCUACGAUCAACUACCUAGCUCAAUCGUCACAAGGAAUUUGGCAUCCUUCUAAGCUGAUCGAGUCGCUGGCCGGCAAAACGAUUUGCACCGUCGACGUUGAUCACAAUCAAACAAAUCGUCCACAUCGAUCUUUGACCAAACAAAGAAAGAAAUGUGGUACUGUAUUAAUUUGCUAGCUGCCGGGAAACACGAUCGGAUUAGCAUACGGUAUCAUGGUCAAGUGGCAUCGUGUAUAAUUUAAUUACGGCAAAAACAAAUCAAAUGUCACUCCGAUCCUGCCUUGACUGCAUUUCUACCGACAGGCUCCCAAACCCAAAGUGCAUUCCAACCUGGCUGUGACAGCGGCUUAAUUAAUUAUAUUUUCUUACUACUCCCUCCGUCCAUAAAUGUUGGACGCCGUUGACUUUUUAAUAUAUGUUUGACUCUUCGUCCUAUUCAAAAAAUUUAUAUAAUUAUUAAUUAUUUUUAUAUCAUUGUAUUUAUUGUUAAAUAUACUUUUAUGCACAUAUAUAACUUUACAUAUUUGACAAAAAAAAUUGAAUAAAACGAAGAGUCAAACGUGUAUAAAAAUGUUAACGGCGUCGUACUUAUUAAGGACAGAGGUAGUACUUAUUAAGGACAGAUUAAUUUAAUUAAAUCUUGUUUUGUGUAGUACAUUAGGCUGCAGGUUGGCUCAGACUAUAUGAGCAGUCAAUUUACCUAAGAAAUGUUUCGCUGAAAUUUGUAAUUUUAUUCCAAGGCCCAAAAACUAUGGGCUGCAGAAUGUCAGGAAGGGGCCGCAGCAAAGCCCAUGUUCUUAUGGUAUUUGGUACAUGGGCUCACUUGUUUUCCAUCCUGUUACAGGCCCAUUUGGUACUACAACCCAUUGGGCCUCUGCUGCCACUGAGACCAGGGCCCAUUAAGCUUGAAAAUUACACAACAGGGCCCAUAAAGCUCCCAGCCCCAGGGACUGAAUAAAAAACAGAAGGAAAGGCACAGCACUAAUACAAACCCAUAAAUUAUUAAUUUUAGUAAAUCGCAACCAGGGAGAGGGUAUCAUGUUUUAUUGUUUUUGUUUUGUAUUGGGUUUAACAGGUACUUUCACUUUGACGAGUAUCACUUUGCACUAGGUUGUGUUAUAUUAUUGGAGUAAAAUCUGGUGAAAUAUAAGUGAAUCCUAUGAAACUGUUUAAACUUAGGGUAAGUUUCAUGAAGUUCCAUUCAGAUUGUAAAAUAUUUUAUAAGAUUUCUAUCGAUGGGUUUGAUGAUGUACCCUGAUGAUUAAGUGAAAUUAAGUGAAACUUAUUUAGUACAACUUGGUGUAAAACGAAAUCCUCUACUAAACCCGGUGCGAAGAGUAAUAUACUUGGAAAAUUAUUGCCAUGGAUUAUGUAAUAAAUUAUUGUUAAUCAAAAUGGGCUAGGCCCAAUUAACGUUGAUUAAAAUUUCACUAGUCCACAAUGAAUGGUAGAGACAAUAAUACCACCUUAGAGAUUUAAAGUGGAGAUGCACAACUUAAAUAGAGAGGUUAGUGAGACUCUCUGUUGACUGGUUGAGACAGUAGGAAGACCGUCACGCGCGCGCGCCUUCUUCUUCCCGAGGUGAGAGCGUUCUUCUCCAUAGCUUUUUUUCCUCUCUAGUUCUCCUCGAGUUCUUGUGCCUUCCAUCUGUCUCCCCGGUUCUGUUUCUCUUGCGCGCACGAGAGUUCGGAACGAGCAGGCCUCCGGAACCCCUCAAUUGCGCGUAACGUCGGCAGCGAUAACUACGUGAUUUAACCGCACGGUAAUUCCGUAACGGAAUUGCGGGAUCAAGGGACGCGGUUUCAGGGGUUAGCAUAUUCCUCCUUCUUCUUCCCGAGGUGAGAGCGUUCUUCUCCAUAGCUUUUUUUCCUCUCUAGUUCUCCUCGAGUUCUUGUGCCUUCCAUCUGUCUCCCCGGUUCUGUUUCUCUUGCGCGCACGAGAGUUCGGAACGAGCAGGCCUCCGGAACCCCUCUCGCCAGAGUACCUGCUCGGGUAGACGGGUGCUAAGGUUUUUGGGGAGUGCAUUCGCACGACUGCUCAGUGCGCCAUGUCAACUGACGGGAAUGGAAGCGGUUGCGGUGGUGCUCACACGCUCUCCUCUAUUAUGUUUAAUAUUUUCGAAUGCCUAAUAGCAAUGGUUUCAUUGAUAUAUCAUGAUCAUAUGGAUGCUUGUGCUUAUCGUAUAUUAAACAUGCUGUUAUGUUCUGUUCCUAAUCAUUAGAUUAUUUCUUAUUAUUUUAGAUUAAAAUAACCAAAAUGUGACCAUAUUUCCAACAAUUAUAACCAUUGUGAUUACUUAAAUAUUUUAGAAAAGCUUAACAAAUACUCAUCUUGAUAAAUUUUACCCAUAAAUUAUAUUUCGCUGGUCUAUUCGAUCCUUUUCUGACUUUGAUUGGUUGAACUCCUGGAGUUGUAAAAUGGAUUCUAGCCAUGUUCUUCUUCUCCUGUUACUAACCCAAAUUCUCUCAUUUUUCACGCGCAUACUUCCCGUACUACUAAGCGAUAUGAUUUGUUCGAAAGUUUUAUAUGAGAAAGUUGCUUUAAAAAAUUAUAUUAAGCUAUUCUAUAAUCAUAUACUUAUCUACUAGUACUUUUUCCGUACCAGAUACCUGAUCUCUAUCCGAAGACAGCCUCUUUCUUCUACUUUGUUCCCCACUCUAGGGCAAGUUCUGUGUAGAUUCAUCUAGAACCAACUGCUGCUAGUCCAACAGCAAAAGACCAAAACCUUUUAAAAAAAUAAAAACAAAAAAUUUUAAAAUAAAUAAAUAAAUAAAAAGCACCAAGACCAAGUAAUAAUUUUAUAGUAUACUAGUACAAAUCAUCACUAUUGUGAGCUCCACCACCACUCAAUCCCUCUUCCUCCUCCCCGGCUAGGCCCCGCGUCGAACACCUGCUGUGCGCGCCGCCCAUGUCGUCCCCGUCGGCCGCCGCGCCGGUGCGCUUCGGCAUCAUGGGGUGCGCCUCCAUCGCGCGGAAGCUGGCGCGCGCCAUGCUGCUCGCCCCGGGCGCCGUCGUGGCCGCCGUCNNNNNNNNNNNNNNNNNNNNNNNNNNNNNNNNNNNNNNNNNNNNNNNNNNNNNNNNNNNNNNNNNNNNNNNNNNNNNNNNNNNNNNNNNNNNNNNNNNNNNNNNNNNNNNNNNNNNNNNNNNNNNCGGGCUGCUCCGGCAGGGCGGGGGCGCCGCCCCGCCCCGCCUGCACGGCUCCUACGAGGCCCUCCUCGACGACCCGGGCGUCGACGCCGUCUACCUCCCGCUCCCCACCAGCCUCCACGUCCGCUGGGCCACCGCCGCCGCCGCCAAGGGGAAGCACGUGCUCCUCGAGAAGCCCACCGCGCUGUGCGCCGCCGACCUCGACGCCAUCCUCGCCGCCUGCGAGGCCGCCGGGGUGCAGUUCAUGGACGCCACCAUGUGGAUGCACCACCCGCGCACUGCCAAGAUGCGGGAGCUCGUCGACGACAAGGCCACCACCGGCGACAUAAGAGCGGUGAGCUCUCGGAAACUCAAGUGUUCGGAUUUUAUUACGAUCUGGAAACGCUUACUCAAUGUUGGAAUCAUUAGGGUUUUCUUUAUGAUCUCAAUUAGUGAUAUGCUUAAAUUUCCACAUUUCUUGGACACCCGAAUCUCCAAAGAUAAAUUUGAUGAUGUGAUCAUCUGAGUCAAUGAUAGUAGUGCAUGAUGUUAAAUAAUCGAACCUCAAUCUCAGGAGUGUAAAAAAAAAAACAAAUCUCUCGUUUCCAUAUUACCUUAUAUGCUUGCUUCAAAUUGAAAGCCUUGCUUGUUGGAAUAUGUCUGCGUUUCGCAAAAUCCAAGAUAUUGGGUCAACGCCAUAGUGCGAAGGUAGUGUUCUCAAGAGCAAAAAAAAUUAAAAAUUAAAAAUUGAGGAACAAUACUUUUGCAUAAUGCAUAGAAAAUACAACCUGGAAUGAAUAGGCAGUUCACUGUUUUACUGAAGGACGGUAUGUUUCAAAUUUGCAAGAAUCAACUGUAAGAUGAUAUAAGAUAGUUAGGAUUCCACCAUACCAAAGGCAUAAGUUACAAUACCUUCAUACACCUCUCAAGGAAAAGAAAGAAAUGAUUGAUGAAGGCAUUUGUAAGAUAGAUGCAGCUGUUAUCUGUCUACCACUUGCAGGGCCCAUCCUAACAAUUUUGUUGGACCUUUUCUUGUCACUGCUGGUCUAUGUGGGCUGCUAAUUUCUUGGGUAAGUGCACACUAUACACAUACAUGCACAUGUCUACAUCUCCUGGAAGCCCUACCGCAGGGGCCGGUGCAGUCUGCCCUGCCCUAGGGCCGGCUUUGUCCACUUGACAGAUUCCAGAUUUACCACGUGAAAGCAUAAGGAACUACAAGAUUAAGGUUAGCUGCAGUAUCUAAUAGGAUUCCACAAUAUCAGAUCCAUUAUAUUGCAUGGCUAAAGUAAGUCUACUUUGUUUUCCUAGUUGACCAGCAUGUUAGAAAAUCUGAGCCCUUCGAUUCAAGUCAGAUAGCCCUAUUGUGACCUCUUAAGUUGCAAUCACUCUAAGGACUCACAGGAACCAGAUCCAGAAUCACUACACUUGUUGGUAGUAGUACAUUCACCUUCCUUGAGACAAUGUAUUCUGUUUAAUCUACUGCUUCCUACAUAAAUCCUCAGUCUCUUGUCCUUGUUAAGCUCUAAACAAUUGUUGAUGAAGUUUACACUUCUCCAUGUCUGGAUACUUAUUGACCAUGCUGAAUGAAUAGCGAUAUUUUGUUUGUAGCAAUGGCAACAGAAAAACACCUUGAUGUCCAUUGUCAUCUUGGAAUAGCAGAAUUUGUUCAUAGCUACUAGGAUCACUAUCUUGCCUGAGAAAUUUAUUCUGGUUCUUUCUGUAAACUCCUUGAAGGCCUUUGUCCUGAUCUUCACUAUAUGUUUGUCCAAUAAAAAUAUUGUGGUUUGUCUCUUGGUCUAAUUUCCUACACAUUUUCAUUAUUCUGAACAAAACUAUUCACUCAGUUGACCAUGCGUGCUUUCUUCUUUCUCUAACAGUUCUUCCAAGUUUAGGUAAUUUCACGCAUUAUCCAACUAAUACUUAAGCUGCCAAUAUGAACAGCUUGGCCAUCUAGUGAUUUUUCGUUUCUGGAUAAUUUGCUCACUUACAUCCCAGUGCUACUAUUUUAUGUACGUUGUUCUCAAAAUUUCCUAUAGAAACCAAAAGUCAAGCAGUUUUUCGAAUUUGCAAGAUUUUUAUUGAUAUUUUGCCACUUCAAAUAUUUCUUUACAGUUUCCUCAAAGUCAAGUUUUCCUAACACCAACACUGCAUGAAUUGUGAGCCUCAGAAACUAACAUGAUAAUUGAUAAAUCCCAGAAUAAUUCCCCUUUGAACAAGUUCAUUCACUCAGCAUCUGGUGCACUAACUGUGAACAUAUAUGGUUGCAUUUAUACUUGAUAGUAAAAUUUGUAAUGCCUCAAAGACUCUCCAAUACUUUAGGCUUGGUUGCCUUUUGUCCAAACUUCCUACAGUGUUUAUGGUUUAUUCCUAGAAGGUUUUAUAUUUCAGAAAUCACUUUUAAUAAUUAGUUGCAAUGUUGGGCUAUCAUUCACAAUCUGAUCCAUGGUUUUCUAGUCUUUCAGUACCAAGACCUCACUGACUUUUAUAGGUAUACUAACUCCAUUCCCCUUAUUAGCUGGUAGUAGUGUCUCGCUAAAUUACAUAAGAAAAUUGUACUGUCCUGUUCUAAUCUUCUGCGGAACCAGCACAUUAAAGUAACCCAGGAUAAUGGAAAUGUGUAUCAGUUAAGACUAAAAUUCGUCAGCUUAGUUGUAUUUAUAGUUGAUAAAUUGAAGGUGAAAUGGGUAUGAGCAUGAUCUCCAUGUAGAUUCCAUUUAGUUGUUUGAAAUCUAAUUAUCUUCUACAAAUUAUCUGUAUCAUCAUCAAUCACCAUAUCAAAUAGAUGCAUUUAAGCAUAUCCCCUCCAUAUAUGUAUGUUCUUGUUGUAUACAAAUAAAUGCAGCAAGCAAUUUAAAUACAAACAACGUGUCAAUGCCUAAAAAUAAAUCUGCACAAAAAAUAUUUGAGAAAUAGCUACGGUGAAUUUGUGAUUGCUAGUAGAAGAUAAAGAAGAUAAAGCAAUCUUGAUAACAUUCUUCAGUUUCAGUCUAAAUAUAACAUAUUGACUGAUUGACACUGCUAGAAAUGAUGAACCUGAGUGCUGAGUCUCAAGGUAUAGCUCAGAUCUAAUCUAAUGGAUUGAAGAACGAGAAGACAGUGCAAUUGUUGACAAUUUCUUUGAACAUAUUCUUUAAGACAUUAAAAUUAUGUGGGUCUCCAAACUGUUAAUCUGUUCUGUAAUUGAAGUCAACAUAAACAUAGAUAUAAUUAAUUUAUUGUUUACAGGUACUAAACAUAAUAGCAUUUUAUUGGUUUCAAACCUAGACUGUCAUACUUUCAUGCACCAGUACUUAAAUCUUGCUGUAUGUUGGCAGAUCCAACAAUGCGUGCAGUCAGUCCGAGGAAACAUGAAUAUAAAUAUAUGAAAAAAAUAUAAAUGCUUAUGGAAUGAUCGACUGAUGUUCUCUACAGCUACACUACCACAGAAUGAUUGCCGCCUCGCCCUUUUAUAUACCUCCAUAUAGCUUGCUUCCAGUUGAUGUGCAACAUGUUACAGGUUAACUAAAUAAUUGCUUUUUCCUUCUGCUGCUUCAGAUAAAUAGCUUGUUCAGCUUUCGGGCAAAUGAAGAAUUUCUCCACAAUGAUAUCAGGGUAAAGCCAGACCUUGAUGCCCUUGGUGCACUUGGUGAUGUCGGGUGGUACUGCAUCCGUGGAAUCUUGUGGGCUGUCGACUAUGAGCUUCCCAAGACUGUGAUCGCGAUGCGCGACCCUGUGAGGAACCAAGCUGGUGUGCUCCUUGCCUGUGGUGCGACACUCUACUGGGCUGAUGGCAAGAUCGCCACCUUCAACUGUUCUUUCCUCACCAACCUUACCAUGGACUUGAGCAUUGUUGGAACAAAUGGUACGCUUCAUGUCACUGACUUUGUCAUCCCAUACGAAGAGAAGUCUGCGUCAUUCAGCAUGGCAUCCAAGUCAAAAUUCGCCGAACUCCACACCGGAUGGGAUCCACUGCCCAGCAAGCACGUCGUCCCUACAGACCUGCCACAGGAGGCCCUCAUGGUCCAGGAGUUCUCAAGGUUAGUGCAGAACAUCCGAGACGCAGGUGGCAAACCUGAGGGGAAGUGGCCAUCCAUCACCCGGAAGACUCAGGUUGUGAUGGACGCAGUCAAAACUUCUAUUGACAACGAGUUUGCACCGGUUGAUGUUUCUAGUUGAAUACAGUAACCAGCUGCACUUUCUGAGAUGAUCUCUGUAGUCCAUGGUACUUCUGUAUCUUACAAGAAAAAACUACUUGUUCAAAUGAUUCUAAGAACCGCAGUCAAUUUCAGUACAAUGUUACAAAUGUAUCAAGCAAAAUGUUGUUAUAAAUAAAUGUUGAAACAUGGGAGCUUUGAUUAACCCAUAGAUUGUUGUAUUGUCAAAGCAAAAUCUGGUCUUUUGGCGCCCCACUUGGAUAUAAUAUCCCCAUAGAAAGUUCCUCUGUUCCUAAUGAGGUUUAGAGUUCAAGAUUUUAGUUGAGUUUCUCUUUUCCUUUUGGCUGGAUAAUUCUCAGGACAGUCACAUUACAAGUUUCCAUCCAAGCUCAAAUAAGUUUAUUUUUGAGUUUUGUGCUGGAAACUUGUACAGUAAAGUGACUGAGAAGUUGGAGACAUAUGGCCAAGUUGGAGAAAACAUGUCCAAGGCUUCAACAUCACCACCUUUGUCUUCUGAGCAUGUCAUGCUUCCUGCACACUUGCCAGUGCUGAAUCCCUGAAACGACAGUGAAUGACACAUGCUUCAACUACUGCCGCAAUGUGACUGAAAUACUUAAAACGAAAGCUGCUUUCUGACGGUGCCGACUACUGAUCGACUUGUUGUUUUCCUGUGCUCCCUUUCUUCUACAUUAUACACAAUUUACGGCUCAAAUUACAAUACUAUUUGUUUAAUUAUAUUCCAUUAAUCAUUUUCAAUUUAGAUUUCUUCGCAUCUUAUACUCGUCUGCACUCUACCUGCACUCUUGCAUUCAUUUAUUUCACCUAUAUUGAAGGGCAUAAAAGCUAUUUCUUUUAACCUAGUCUCUAUUAAUAUAUAAGGGAUUUGCUCUGGUCUAACAAAAAUACCUCGAGAUAUCAAAUCAUUUCUUAUUAUUGGAUCUAGCUGAGUAGCAUGUGCACGGUUAGAUUCAACGAUCAGAAACGAUUUGGUACCAUGAGGUACCGGUAACUCAAGUUACUUUUCGUUAGACCGUAAAAUUGUUCAAUCUAUAAACGUUUAUAUAUUGGAACAGUAGGAGUAAGUUGUUGUUGAUGGCUGCCUGUCGAGAGUACUGUACGAUAGCUCAGCUGUUAAGACUUAUAAGUGCUCAUGGUGUCAGAGGUUAAUUGCACGGUCUGAUCUGUUACAGGCGAGGCAUGCAUGGGAUUCUCUGAUCAGGGAUUAUUAACAGCUGGUUAUUAUCCGCCGACGAUCAGCUCACAUUGGUUUCUGAAACGUGAUUUGAUGACCUGCAGGUUGCAGCUAGCUGCCGACCGGUCAGGUUUUAUCGAUGCCCGUGAUCACCGAUCGAGUGGUUAGCGCAGCUGAAAAUUUGGGAAAAUUCAGACAAGUUUUUAGGAGGAAUUUUCAUUCUAGUUUGAGUUUUUUUUUUAACUUGGCCAGUUUAACACAGUCCGGAUCAAUAAGUUCGAUGACCAUUAUAAGUUUAUAACUGUUAUGAGAACAAACUCUCUAUGUUAAUUUGCUUAAUCACUUUUAUGCCCUUGAAUUUUGUCUCACUUUUUAUAUAUCUCUGAUUUUUUUAUUUUGUUCUACACUGCCCGUAUCCAUUCCAUUAGUUGAUUUGUUUUUUUUCAAAAUGGCUAUAUUUUCCCUUUCUCAUAUUUAAGUGCUAGCUUAAUGAUGGGAAUACAAUUAUCAGGUGAAAAAUAUUCAUUUGUAAGACAACAAUGGAGAUAAAUUAUUUAACCACAAUUUCGAAAAAUUAUUCUAAAGUUUUUAAAUACAUUUCAAAUCAACUUUGCAAAAUUCCUACCACACAUUUUUACUCAAAAUUUAAACACAAUAAAUAAAUAAUUUUGGUUCUGAAUUUCUAGAUGAAUCUCUUUUAUGGAUUUAAUAAGAAAAAUAAAAUUCGCUAACAAUAUUUUAUUUUUAAAUUUGAUUUAUUAUGGAUUAAUAACUUUCACACUGAGCGCAUAAGUAUGAGAAAGAUAAUUAGUCAUUUUAGAACAGCAAUUAACAGUUAACUAACGAAAUAGGUGUAAAGGAGAUCAAAAUGAAAACUUAUAUAUAUGGUCAUAUAGUAGAUGAAGUAAAAUCCAAAAGCACAUAAGGGAUUGAAAAUAUUUCUAGAUGUACAUAGGUUAUGUUUUUUCUCAUUGUGAGACCGUGGUUUCUCAUAAGACUGUGCUCCGGGCUUUAAUUUUGAUGGAUUAAGAUAGCUGAACGCAGCUCUCCAGAGAUUAGAAAUCUGACAUCAUUAUAAAUAUAUUGCCGUUUAUUUUACGCGAGCAAACGUCCGGACACGUAUUUUCGUUUUUUUUAACGGAACUUGCUAGCAAUUUAUUCAGCAAAAUAGAUCUGAUUACAAUCUUUAGCUAGCACCGAACUCUGAUGAAACAGAGAAACAGGUCAUAAAGCAUUCACUAGCACAUAUCAUAAGUAUUUGCUACUCUAUCUCAAAAUGUAAUCAUCUCUAGGUUAUUUAAAUAGAAGUACUAAUGUUAAAAAAAACUAUGUUGCCCCUAAAUAAGUGAGGAAUAGACAGUGACAGACGCAGCUUUAAAAUAUUUUAAAGGUGGGAGUGAGAUGUUCAAUUAAUACUACUGGAUGCAACACAUAUAUACCAUAUCAUAUUUAUAUUGGAUUCAAAAAAUAAAGUACAAUAAAUAAAUUUAUACAAAAAUAUACAAGACGGUAAAUCUCAUUUAAAAAUAAAGCAACAAACUUUGCACCACAUAUAAUUCAUUACAUAUCAAAAGAUAAUGGUAAAUCAGUCAACUUAAAAUAUUAGUUAAUUUAUAAAACAUGAGUAAUAGUUAACUAAUGAAUAUCAAUAAAAUUUUGGGUUAGUAUAAAAGAAGACAUACCACUCAUAAAUUACUAAACAAGUAUAGGUCCUCUACAAGAAGUAUGUAUCUAGGUUCUAUAGGAGACUUGGAAAAAUCUAUUCUCCGAGCAUUGAAACCUCUUAUUAACUUUAUCAAAAUAAAGUUUUCUAAAAAUCUUAUUCUCAACUUGGUGCAAUAAGUCAAUGAAUUAUCAUUUAUCCCAUUGUACAAAUCGAUUUUUUGUUAUAAUCUAGCCGAGAAGACUCGUUCAAUAUUUGUUAUAACCUAUAAAAGAAUUACUAUCUAAAUAAAAUGAUGUAUAAACAUAAAAGCAAGAUAAAUUUUUGUUUCAAUCAUUUUUAAGGUCAGAUUACUACAAUCUUUGAAAUUAUCAAUAGGAGAAGGGGUAAGUGUAUGGACCCAGGCCGCGUUCGGUAUGCAUACAUAAGUUAACUUAUGCCCUGACACGGAAAACGUAGUAAUAAAUUAGUACAUGAUUAAAUAAUUAUUAAUUAUUAAAAAAUAUAAAAUAUAUUAAUAUGAUUUUUUAAAACAACUUUUCUAUAGAAAAUUUUUGUAAAAAAUACACCGCUUAACAGUUUGGGAAGCUUGUGCGCGGAAAACGAGGAACACGUAGUUAACUAACUUUUCUAGAUUGUUACGGAUGCUUAAAUUUGGCUUGAGGUGAUAUAUACAUGAUGAAAAUUAAUAAACUCUAGCUAAAUUUUUUUCCGAGAAGGUUCCAGGAGCCCCUCUCCACAUAUGCAGCUCCGCCCCUGCUUGUGGUGAGAUGUGCCCAUCCACAUUCAGUUCCUAGACUUAACAUGGUUACUCGUUUUAUCAUUAAUUAUCUUUGCCGGUUAGAGCGAAUACCUGGCACAGAUAGACUGCCUAUCUAUCUAUGCCGGUUAUAUGCCAAAUCGCGUCUACAAUUUCUACACUAAAAUUUGUUUUAGCACAUUUAUAUCAAUACGGACCAUAGUUUUAACUCUUCUUUUUUUUUAAUUCAACACACGACUGUUUGUUGUAAAGUGUAUAUUAAAUCUUUUGUAUACAGCUAUGUAUUAAGCCACAAUUUCCAUUGUUCUAGUACACUCAGAAUUUUCUUCGGGGUCAAAAAAUUUCUUGGCAGCCAUAAUAAAACCGCCAAUAAAUUGUUUUUUUCCUUGGAGGUGAUUCUGAACCACCAAAGGUGUACCCACUCUGUUCCAAAAUAUAAAAAUUCCUAGUUUUUAAAUCAUAUUCCACGUUAUAUGGAUUUCUAGCACUAUUUAUCGUACUACUUAUCACAUCAAUCUUAUUCAAAUUUCAUCCUAUUUAUUAUGGGCACCAAAAUCUUUUCUUCUUAGCCAUAAUCUUUGUCGAACAACUUAGAACUAGUUAUAAUUUAGAACGAAGUGUGUAAUCUUUAUUCUUGAGGUGUGAAAUAUCUGCCAAGGUAUAUAUGUAAAGUUUGGGUAGACUGCUGCCCUGGUUAUGAUAUUUAUUAGACAUAGCGUUCGCCCAAUACCAAGGUAUCCACAAGAUUACAGUAAGAAUAAAGAUACAUGGAUUUUUAUACAGUUUCAGGUCCUCCUAUGAUGGGUAAUAGCCUUAUUCUAUUGGCCAGAGUUGUUGACAAGUACUAUUUGUUUUGUCUUCCUCUUCUUGGGGUUGUUGUAUUUAUACACUCAGUUAACCCCUUGUCCAUGUAGAAUUAUGGAGACAAAUAUGGAUAAUAUCUUAGUAGUCUUGGUAGAACACGAGUAGGAUUUUGUAUUUAUUUGCUUAUCUGGCACUCCUUCCUUAUAUGGUUUGGGACUUUAUCCAUAUGUGUGGACUUUCUUUUUAUAUAAAACUUAGAAUGUAAUACUUGUGCUGAAGUAUGUGAACGUUUAUGGGCUAUCACAUAUCUGUUACACUUACAACUGCCUUCUUAGCGCUUACGUUGUAGUUUUUUUUUAUUGACAUGUCAUUUGCAAAAUGUUUCUUCAUCCAUUAAUUACUUAUACAUGAGUAAUAAUUCACAUCUCAUGAAGAAAAGGGGUUACUAGUGUACUACACACCUCGAAUCCACGAUGUAUUAGUUCCUCCCUCUGUUUCAUAAUAUAAGAUAUUUGACUUUUUUGCUUGCAAUGUUUGAUCAUUUAUCUUACUCAAAAAUUAUGAAAAUAUUAUUUAUUUUGCUUGUAACUUACUUUAUUAUCAAAAGAACUUUAAGUAUGACUUAUCGUUUUAUAUAUUUAUACUAAAUUUUUGAAUAAGAUGAAUGGUUAAAUAUUGCAACAAAAAAAGUCAAGCAUCUUAUAUUAUGAAACGGAGGUAGUAAUUAAUAGUCAAAACUGUAUAUGCAUCAUUGAUUUGAUCUGCGUUUUGGAAUGACAUUUAGUAUGUUCAAGUUCACACUGAAUCCUAAUUAAAUUGGCACCCUCGUCCAAAACAUUCCAGAGACACCCCUGUACGGAUGGUAAUGGGUCUAACCAUUUUGCCUGUAAAAUUUAAGGGCCGAGUUCAAAACCGGUUAAAAAUAAAAUUAUAUAGAGUUUUGAGCUAAAAUUUUUAAGAAUUAAAUAGGGUUGUAAAAAAACCUAAGGGUAUUGGCUCAUUACCACUCCUACACCCUUGUAUAAUCGAGCUAUGUUCUUGUUGAUGGCUUUGUGCCAUUGAGAACAUUAAAUUUAGGGUUUUUUUAUCAUCCGUGAAAAGUAUCUUAAGUUACCAAAAAUUUUAGUAUAAAUUUUUGGUACCUCAAUAUACUAAACUUUUAUAAAAAAGUGUGGUACGUUGAGAUACUUUUUGAAGGAUAAUAAAAAAACUCUUAAAUUUAAAUCAGCCAUCCUAGGUACAAACUACGUACUCGGACGAAGUGACAACAUGCAUGCACAUCAGAAUAAGGCUCUGCAUGCAUGCAUGCCUGCCUGAUACGUAUACAUAACACCCUUCGAUUCUCUCUGAAGAUGGAUGGUCAAUGAAGCAUACAUAUGUAGACAAACUAAGCCCUUUAACUGAUCUCCUAAUUAAAACAAAAGGGAUUUAAAUUUUGAUCACACCAAAAUCACAAACUAACCAGCUCAUAAUUAAUUAACUAGGAGUAACACGGCUAGCUAGCUACUGCAUUUUUAUUACCAGACCAGCUAAUAAUGCAUCUGGAUGGAUGCAUAUAUGGAUCAUGGUAGCUAUCGGAGGAGGGUGCGGAUGAUGUCAGCCUGGGGGCUGUUGCUGUCCAUGGUCGCCAUGAGCUCCGACAGCCGCUCGCUGAGGUCGUCCACUUCCCGGUGCAGGCUCUGGAUGUAGCUGCACGUCUCCUUCAGCAGCUUCGCCGCCGGCGACUGCACCACCGCCGGCAUGCAUGCAUCCACAUUACAUAUAUAUAUAUAUAUAACCAGCUGGAACGAACUAUAAACUGCUGCAACUUAAUUAGCUUGCUUCUUCGUCUCUAUCGUAUGUUGGCUGGAGAAGGGCGAACGACUUACCGGCCGGCCGGUGGCGCCGCGGCGGCGGGAGGAGUCCGGGAGGAGGGACUGCAGCUUGGAGAUGAGCUCGGUGAUCUCGUCGUCGGUGAUCCUGCCUGAUGCUCGCCGCCCUGACAUCUCCAAGUCCAAGCUAGCUAGAUUUUAUGGAUCUCAGGUACUGUACUGUACUUACUAUAGCUAGAACCUGCAACUAAUUUGCUACUUAAUGCUUGUGUUGUGUGCCAGCUAGAGCUCAAAGAGGGAUCGAUUUUGGUAUCGAGCUAGGGGAUUAAUUAUUGGAAGCAGUGUUGUUGUUAGCAAGCUAGGGAAGGUGAAAGGGACUGCAAAAGAGGAGAGGAACACAUAAGACCUACCUAGACUACAGAGAUGUGGAGAAGUUUGGAGAGAGUGUGGUGAGUUAGAUUGGGUGCUGCUAUGGGUGUAUUAAUAGGAGAUGGAGAGAUGGGCACACUUGUCCCCCUUGUUCUGCCUGCACUCCAGCUGGUGGGCCCUGGGCUUGCCUGUGGGCCCCCAGCCCACUAGACAUCAAACAUGUGAGAUUGUCAAUGGUGUCUAGCUCACCUUUUUUUUUUCCCUCACCCUCUCGUGCACAAAAACAAUAGAAAGGAGUUCAAGAGGGAUUAGCAAUAUAUCCUCGAUAUAUCCAAUUUUGUGCACCCAGAAAUCUUAUUAUCUUGGUUUUCAAAAGAAUGAUGUCAUAAAGUACAUAUAGUUAAAUCUCAAAAAUCUUAAUCGUGUCAGUAGAUAAAAAAUAUUACAUUUUAACUUAACUGUGGAACUUAUAUUAGUAGAUUUCCAAAAAAAAAACUCUUUCAUGUUUCUAUAUUGUUUAACUGUUUGUAUAAAUAUAUUGAUUAAGAAUGCAACCAUAAGCAUUGAGACUAUAUUGAUGUCCAUGACAACAUCAUUUUGAGAAUAAAGUAGUAUAAUGUUUGAUUGAUUAGAUUCUAGUUAAUUUGUUACCGAAGUGCAUAGAUAUUAUAUUAAAUAUUACUACUAGAGAACUCCUAUAGGUGACAGCUAAUAGGCGCGGUUCAUUUAAAAUUGGCACCUCCUACUGGUUGUUUCCCACCGUUGAGCAAUGCCGGUUUUAGCGAAAAACAAAACCAUUAGUAUACUGUCGUUGCUAAAAAACUAGCAACUAUAAUAAUCUAUAGGUGCUGGUUAUCUAAAAACGACACCUUUAGCAAACUGUAGGUACUGGAUAAUUAAAAAAACAACACACAUAAUAAGACGAAAUGAGACGUGAAUCACAUAAAGUAGUCCCUAUCCCCAUCUCCCUCUCUCACCUCUCUUCCAGAGAUGAUAGAGAGUUGUCACCAGGACUCCUCUUAAUUCCCCACUUGCAUCGUCAGGUCCCCUCCUCUCUCUCUUGUCAAGCCGCAGAUCGGUGUGUCAAACGCCAUCACUCCCUCUUCCUCUACCCACUGGCCGAAUGUAGUGGUAGUUGACGGGAAUGGUUGUGUAGGAUCAUGUGUGGUGGAUGACACAGGCAGCGGCGACAACCUUGAUGACGACGCACAAGUAGCAGUGGCCUCCUUCCCUCUCCAGUGGCUAUGCCCUCGGAUCUAGCAGCAUGAAGGUUAGGGUUCGCUGGAUCCGGCUGACCUAGUUGACGACAAUGGUGUUGGUGACUACGGUAGGACAGUGGCGGUGAGUCAGAGCUAUUAUGUUGAUCUAUGCCAUUGUUGCUCUGGAUUGUUGUUGAAGCAAUAUUUUGACUACAUUGUUCUUGAUCUUUGAUAUGUGAUGUGGUUCUGUGGCUUUGAUGAUGGAUUUAAUUUUUGCCCUCUUUUUUUCUGUUGGAAAUUAGUCACUCAAACACUGUUGGUGAUGUUGUUAAUCUUUGCUUUGUUAUGGAUAUGGGUUUUGGGAGGCAUCCGCUCCGAGAAUCGGCUUGAAUCAAGUCGAUGCUUGGAGUAUGUUUUUUUUUUGGCCCGGGGGACACAGGUGCCAAUUCUAUUGUAGCACCUAUGGCCACCCCCAUGAUAGGUGCUAUCUAAUUGGUGCCAGUAAAAAAUCCGUUACCUAUAAUAUUUAUGCAAUUCAUACACUACUACUACAGAAGUACACCAGAGCUAGUUUGGAGACAUAUCUGCUCACUUCUCAUUACUAUAAGAGUUACUGUACAAGACCCAAAUGGCUCGUAACUUUCACCAUGCCAAGACAAAUUAUAUUAAUGUCAAUUACUACCUAGAGAAGGAAACCAUUAGGAACAUCCAUGUAAAUGACAAAGAAUUUUUUUUGAAAAGAACUGAACAUUUUCUUAGUACUAUAUUCUCAAGAAUAAGCGGUUGUAAAAUUAAUUUCGAGAUUUCGGCUCCCAUCGUUUCGCUUUUUAGUGAAAAAAGAAAAACGUGUUUUUACAAACGAAAAAUAAUUUAUAGGUAAAACUUUUAUAUACGUGUCCAUAACGACUCAAAAGCGAAAUGUAUAAAACAAACCAUAAUGAAAAACCACAAAAUCAAGUUUAAAUUAAAUUCUGAAAUUCAUAUUUUGGCUUAUAAGCAGUUACAACUGCAAAACGAUGGAGCCCGAAACUUUUUAGCCAGAAUGAAACAACCGCGUGGAUUAAAAGCAAUAUGGGAGUGGCGAAUCAUUGUUAACAUGUCAUGAAUAUAUACUACUCCUUGUAUCAAAAAAUAUAAACAUUUCUAGUAUUUGAAUAUUAUCCUAAACUAUAAGUAUUUCUAGUACUAUUCACAGUACUAGUGAUCCAAUCAAUCACUUAUUAUUCAAGAUUCUUCUCAUUUUAUCCUCCUACUCUCCUACCCUUAUUAUUCCUCAUUAUUAAUGGUCAUUAUAGUUUUUCUUCUCAGACUUAAUUAGUGCUAAACAACCUAAAAAUGCUUAUAUUUUGGGACGGACGUAGUAUUACUAUAGAGAAAUGUAUCAAAUGGCAUGGUGAAAUGAAGUUUAUUUAUAAAAUAAAUUAUGAACGAUUUAUUUUUAAAUUUGAAAUUAAAAAGGUUGACAGAAAAAAAAAUCAUGAAAACUAUACAUGGCCUUCCCCUAAGUUUCAGGACGUCGAGACAAAAUACAUUAACGGCAAGUGCUACCCAGAGAGGGAACCCAUUUGUCACAAAAAUGGACUGAUAUGAUAUAUGCUGGUCCAUGCAUGCAUGUCCACUGUCAACUGGGACAUGGAUAGAUAAGGAGCUCAUACACUCAUGGUAUAUAUGGAUCCACUUACAACUGUGUUUUUAUAUAGCCAAAUAUAUAUAAUGUGAUUUAUAAGAAUAAUUUCAUGUAGAUUUUUUAGACUUAUUGGUAGCCACACUGGAAAUAAGGCUAGGGAACAAAAGUGACGAACAAAACCCCAUAAAUUAAUUUUAAAAUCAAAUUCCAAAAUCCAAAAUGUGUUUCUUAGUAGUGCAAAUUAAUUAAUUGGCUCAAUGAUAAUAUGAAAAUAGGUAGACUAGAAAAGUUCUGAGAUAAUAAUAUUAAUUCAGCAGGCAUCUAUUAUAUGUCCUGCAACACAAAUUAUACCUCGAGCGAGAAAAAAACAAAAUUAGUUGUAACUUUAACUAUUUGUGUACGUGGAAGUGGAACUCUAUGUGUUCAAACAAAUACUAAUCCGUUUUAUAGUAUAAGACUUUUUAUAUUGCCUAUAUUUAUUUGGAUACUAAUUAAUAAAUCUAAACAUAUAUACAAACAAAUAUACAUUGAUCAAUAGGUGAAUGUGUAUACAUAUAAAAAGUCUUACGAUAUGAAACCAGUACUUUUACAAUAAUCUUUCAUAGCAAUUUUAUUGCAUCCGAUCGAAGAGAAAAAGGGUGAAAACAUCUCUAGAUGGAUCAGGUGGCCAUGAAAGGGCAAAGAAGAUCUAAUUGGGAGGUGGUUUAAUGGCUGUGCUGCUGGGGCCGGCAGGCCGGCCCUGUAAUUAAUUUAAGCGUAAGGACAUGCAUGCAUCGAUCACUGUCAGUCUCUCACCCUGCCAGGUGGGACCCACCCAAUGUGUUCCAGCCAGUUUGCCACAGGGAUCGAUCGAGCUUCAAGUUCAACGUGACACAAAAGCGACAUGUGAGGCUACAUUGCAUGCAUGGCAUAUAUAUACUAUGUGUCUGCUAGAUGGUCAACACAACACAUAUGCAAUGCUGCUACUAAUGUGUAUAUAUAACAUCUCAUCCUAAUUAACUGAUCUUAAUUAAACGACAUUUUUUUUUUUGUGACAGCAUGCAUGCAAUGCAUCGAGACACUACUGACAAUAUCAGCUAUUAAUUUGGGAACAAACCGGCCGGCAUAUAUAUAUAUACAAUGUUGGCAGGAGAAGUUUGUGUCACAUGCAUAAUAAUGUGCUAAUUGUGCAUGGUUUCUGGGCAGACAAUGGAUGCAUAUGUAGGUUAGCAAUUAACUUGCGUGUGUGAAUCCAUGGGUUAAUCACUUUGGCGGUCGGAGAGUAUGCAGAACUACUGAAUCUCUUGAUCAUAAAAGUCAAAUCAUGCCCACGUUGUCUCGAUCGAUCGAGUUUACUACGACAUAUAUAUACGUAGCUAGGAGCAUCAUAUCAGAAAAUACCCUAAAAGAUCUUUUAAAUUUUAGGACAUUGGUUCACUUUGAGAUUUCUUUGAGAUUUGUGUGUCAUUUUAAUUAUCUUCUCAUCCUCCUCUUCUUACUCAAUUUGAGUUCCGCACCUAUCGACCACCACAACUCCUCCCUCCCUCUCAAUCUGAGUAUGGUAUACCUAUCGACUACCACGCCUCUCCCUCCUCCUCCUCCACAUGCCAGGUGUUGACAGGGGUUGUCCCCAAAGAUAUCACCAUUGCUUCCACCUCAUAGUGGUGACGGGGGUUGCCCCCAAAGAUGUCACCAUUGCUUCCCCCUCCUAAUUAGUUGGGAUCGAAUGCCUCCUCCAUCAACACUAGCCACCACCCGCCCGUUUAUAAUCUCACAGCAUCAACAGUGCCAUCACCAUCGCCACCUCAUCGAACACUCAUUAUGUCUCACCCAUCAUUGUGUCAUCACGACCAAUCCUUUAAGACUAGUGAACUCCACCUCUUCAUCACCAACCCUCUUCGUGCUCCGAACUAGCCUACCCUAAGUUUCAAAUAAUUGGGUUGCCGUUAGUCGCCGAAGCUACUACUACUCAUAAGAGAGAACAGCAUGGGCAUGAAUUAUGGUUAUGAUCAAUCCAAUGGUCCAAAACCUAUUGGGUUUAUCUCCCGUCACACUCUCUCUUUAGAAUGUUAUUUAGCAAUUCUAUAACAUAUAUGCCCUACCUUACAGCCACUCUCUCCUUAAAAUGUUAUUUAGCAAUUCUAUGACAUAUAUGCCCUACCUUACAGCCAGGCUCGCCUCAGACCCAUGGGCAGAGGGGGUGACGGCCUAGGGCCCACACCAAAAGUGGUCCCAUUACACCUUCCUUUGCAAAACAUCGAGAAGAGUAUUUUAGACAAUAUUGAUCUUAAAAAAUAUCAUUGAUGAUUUUGCUUCAAGAAAUGAUCGCAGAAGUUCAUUUCUACAAAAUAUAAUAGGUAUUUUUCAUUACGAAUUUAAGAUAUUCAUACUAUUUUAAUACUUUAAUUUUAUGGUUAUAUACUAUAUUAGUAAUAUUUAUUGAUGUGAUUAUGUCAUAUGGCUUACAUAACAAUACAUUAUACGUAAAAAUAGUCCUAAGGGACUAUAAUGUCGAGUUCUCCGAGGGGCCUUCAAAAACAUGGAGUCGGGCCUACCUGCAACAUCAAGGAGUGAUAACAAUAGCUUUGCUUGUUCAUACACAUAAGUCACAAACAAGUGUCGGUUGCUCACACUAGCUAUGGAGAUGGUCGAUCACCGAGUGCAUCAAAGAAGACAAGGAUGUGCAGCUCAGCUGUAGGAUCAAGGAGAUAAGGGUGCAUGUGUGCAGCUGUGCGACGAGAUAAGGUCAGCUCAAUUUAUGUAUCAAUGCCGGUUAUUUAUUUUAAAGUCAUCAGUUCUAGGUCUUCGCAACAAUCGGCAUAAAUAGGCAGCCUCAAGUUUCAGAGAAACUACCCUAAUGUCCCGAUGGAUUUGGUGUUUUGUCGCACUUAGAUAAACGCUAUGCGCCACUAUUGUAAGAGCUUAUACCUAGCUAGCGAUAUCGAAGUCAGAGACAUUUUUGCUAACAAAAAUAUAUUGACAAAUUUGAGGCCCGAUUCAGAGUUGAAUUAUAUAUAUUGACAAAAUAGCAGGGGACCUUGUGAGUUCUAGUAGUGUACUAGUGUGUAUUCACUUAAUCCCUAAAGAUAUGAACAGUGUAUAGAGAUCGUGCACUCUGUAUGAGUGGAACCUACCAUAGAUGCCAUUAGUUCUGUUAAACUCCAUAAUGCUUAUGGAUAGAGUAGAAAACAAAGUGGAUUCCAAAUGUGAAAGAAAAAUAUCUCUCUCGCACAACCCCCAUAACUCUCAUUCAGAAAAUAGUAUAUUUUAUACUACUCUAUGGGCAACCCAUAUAGUUAUGGAUAACUUUAGCAAUUAAUACUAUAGAGACCACACUCACGAUAUAUAAAGACAGCUCAAAUGAAGACAUUUAUUAUAUAAUAACUACUUCUGUAGCACCGUCGAUGUCCUAAUGGCACCUGUAGGUAAUGAAUUUUCUAAGUGAAAAAUAAGCUAAAAGAACAUCCCACCAUGACAAAUGGUAAUUUGUAUGGCUUCCCUAACAUUUUUGUUUCACCGCAAAAUAACACAUUAAAAUAUUCAGAUUGAGUGAAGACAUAUACAUACACAUGAGGUAAUACGGUACCUAAAAACUAUAAAUUCAUAUUUAAUUUGUACUACUGUAUAUUAUUGAUCUAUCAAACUAUGCAGUAUAUAUUCACUGAUUGGUAUUGUCUGGUAGACACCUGGCCUGCAUACUCUUGGUCAAGUCAAGAGGCAACAAGAGCACGUGCUGCGAUAGUGAAGAAACCGAUUUUACAAAUUCCUCUCGCACCAACUGACAGUUAUAUAUUUGGUCAGUUAGUAAGGAGAUCAUGAUUGUGUCAAUUCUAAUCCGUUUGAAUAGAUUUGAUUUGUUUAAUUAAUUGGUGCAUGGGAUAACUUCAUCAAGCUACAGUUGCGAGUUAAACUAGCUGAACCUCACUGUAUAUAUAUUUGCACUUCAUCACUAAACUUGUUUCAGUGUGUCAAUCUAGCCGUCUCGUCUUUUCACUUCUAGUCUAGCACACUAUCUGAUGUAAGGUGACUAAAUUUGUGUUACCGUGGCAUGUCUCCAUCGGAAUAGGAUCCUAUACCAUAUUGCUUCUACAGUAGCUCAUUGACAUGUGGAUCCAAUAGCAUAUUGGAUCCACAUGUCAGUGAGCAAUACUGCAGAGGAUCUGGAUCCGUCUCCAUCAAAGCUAUGUGGUCAUGUUUAAAGAUUUAUAUCACACUCAUGGCGCCCCACACACCCUAAGUAAUUUUUCUACACUAUAUAAGAAAAAGAUAGAUGUAAACCCCAUAAAUUAAUCAAUAGAUCUUUUGCAUUCUCAUCGACUCGUGACUGGGUGACUACUUGCCCCUCUUGGCUUCUUCAUAUACGUUGCUUGGUGAGUGGGCAAACGAACAUCCUAUCAGGGUUUGUGUUAUCACGGAAAGCUCUGGAACCACUGCCUGACGGAGCAUGAUUAUCACGGUUUCUGAUGGUUUGUGGUUAUCGUGAUAAUCACGAUAACCACGAUGGAGAAACUGUUGGCUUCGGCAACCCUAUGUCUUGUCGAUGACCGACGUGGUAAAACCGAUUGUGCCUCAACAAGUUGAUAAGAUUUUGCCAACAAGAUCCUCCGACUUAAAGUUUUAGAGAGACUCAUGCCGCUGACAUGGGGCCCAUAGAGGGUAGGACCCAUAUGUCAGCCACAAUGUCUCUCUAACUUUAAGUCAGAGUAAACCGUUUCCAAGAUUUUAACCACACCAUGCGAGAAGGGGUCGAUCGGACAAGAUUGAGUCUAAGACUACCACACUUUGCACCUAGCAGUUGAGACGAAUCAAUUUUUUUUUAGUUUAUCUCUUCUUUCUUUAGCUGAUCUAUAUGAAAUGACAACCGUAUUAACAUUGCUGUCUGCAGAGCCGCAAACAAUUAAGUUAUGUCCAAUGCAUUGGCCUUUGUGUUAAUUUCCUGGUGUCUCUAAUCUCCAGAUCCUAUAUAGGCGGUGUUAGUAGUGGAAGGCUAAUAAUAUUUCUUUGGCUCAUGUAGUGAAUAAUGUUUCCAACUCGUGUAUAAGUUUGUAGACAUGGCAAUUAGUCACAGACAGUGACUGACAAAUUGACAAUAGGGUAGGCCAUUUGCAUUUGUAUGCAAAUGCAUGGAACAUAUAGGCCGGUCUCCAUCGAGAGAGGUACACCAGCAUGGCAUAUCCUAAUUUUGUACAUACACAUAUGCUUGUGUGCAUGCUCCAUGGAGGGCACCUGUAUGCCCUACAACACAUGGGCACUUGUCCAAAUGUCCUCAGAUAGAUACAUAUAUAUAACUGCUAUGUCUAGGCCUUUUCCCACAAAAAUUAAUGCCACACAUUGAUCGAUUGGAUCUUUUGGGUACCCUGGCGACACAAGAUAAUAGGUGGGUUGUAACACCUUGCCUUCAAAAUCCGCGUUAGUCCGUUCUACAGAUUGAGCGGACACAUGUUUACAUGGUAUAGCGCUUACACUUUCGUCCUCGCUUCGUAUAAAAGGAUUAACCCAGGAUAUCAUGGUUGGAGCACCAAGACUUAUAAGCAGGCUCUUACCCACCUACACUUUCAACGUGGUAGCUAAACCACCACUACAGUCUACAUAUCCACUUCUGGGUAGGGAUGUAAUGGGUAAAUACCAUCAGGUAUUGGUACCCUAGACCUAUACCCACCAGUAAAAUUCCGUACCAUCAAAAUACCCAUACCUAUCACGGGUAGAAAAAUUUUCCCAGACCCAUACCCGCUUGGGUAAACCUUAUCCGUUGGGUCACCCAUAUACCCGCAAUAGUUUAAAACAAUCUAAAUUGCAUAAUUUCCAUAUAGCAUAUUACAGUAGACACUAGAUACUUAAGACAUCACACAUUCAUAUAAUGUGGUGGAAAGUGUAUGGAUGGUUUAAAUACCUAGGAUUUUGGUUAAUUGGGCUAAUAUUGGGCCAUGACGUGCAUUUAAACUUGUGAAUAUUUAUUACGCAUGGGUAAAUGGGUAUGGGGAUCAUAAGAAUGUUUCCAUAUCCGUGUACCCAUCGGGUGAAGGUGUUUGCCCGAUUACUUACCCACGGGUGAUAUAUUUAGUUCAUACCCGUACUCUAAUGGAGUAAAUACCUAUCGGGUCUUGGGUCACGAGUCUCGUUGCCAUCUCUACUUCUAGGCCACAUGGACCAAACAAUCACUACUAUUAGGCUUCAAACGUGCUAGGGUGUUACAUGGACAGUGGCUACUUUUGCUCCGAGCCAUGCCCUAGACUGCCUUAGCCAUGUGGUUUAUUUGCUUGCUAGUUUCAUGUAAUUUCCCAAAAUCUGCACCACAAGUUUUGGCAAGUAGUUUCUUUUAUAGCAUACAAAUAGUGUGGCAAAAAAAAAGGCUAAUAGUUGAGUAUUAUGACAUAGAGUGCAUAAGACAUAAGUGUGGCAUGCCAUAACUGCGCCUCAAACUAGAUAAACCGUAAUAUGUUCCGGUUGGCAAAUCUAGCCAUAUUCACAGCUGGUGAGACCUAUUAGAUGACAUUGAUGUGGUAUUAAGAAUCAGCAACCCUAGGAUUCUACAAGCCAAAAAAAGGACUCAAUGAAGCGAAAUUGAGUCGAUUCUUCGAGCCUCCUACCCUCUAUCCACGUUAAUAUCACAUGAAUGAACAAUUGCAUCCACAGACCAAACUUCAAAAAUAGAUCAACAGCUACAUCCACAUAUGAAGAUCAAUUAACACAUUAUCCCUUCGAACAUAUGAAUAAGAACAACAUGCACAUGGUAGUUGUUGUUAGCAUCGUUGCCACCAUGGAUAGGGCAUUGUUGCUACAGAGGGAGCUAUUGCUGCACUGGGAGAUGAGGACAAGGUAGCUCUAGAUUUGCGGAAGGGAGAAGUCGGCCGAUGUCGUCGAACCCAAUUAAGAUGCCUUCUCAUGCUCACCCUACCUCUCCUCUCUGAUGUGGCAGAGUAGUGUGGGGCUAGAUUUGGCAACCCCCAAGGUUGAGUUUGGCGGAUCAGUCACUAGACCUGUAGAAAGGAGAAGUUCUCCUUGGCAGUCGUCGUCACCGUCGCCGCGGCCACAUCACCAAGGAGAGGUGGACCACCAACCAUAUCUGAGCUCAAAGAGGUGCCAAGAGAGGGAGAACCAGAUAGAUGGAGGGGGUAGCGAGAGAGAGUGAAGAGGGAGUCGUGUCAUGAGGAUAAGAUCUCUACAAGGCAAGUUCAUUUUGUACUGACAAAAUAAAAACCACAGGUAUAGAUGCAAGUUCUAUUGGAGCCUAUUCAGAAGCUAUCAUAUGUCCGGCUUUUAAAUUAAGCGGCAUGUAUGAGGGUAUUCCUUGUUAGUGGUUAUAUAGUAAUGAUAGAUGCAAGUUCUAUUGGAGCCUAUUCAGAAGCUCCCAUAUGUCCGGCUUUUAAAUUAAGCGGCAUAUAUCAGAGCAUCCCUUAUUAAUGGUUAUGUAGUAAUGUAUAAAAACUUGUAAUCACUGUCGGUAUAUCAAUGGUACAACAUACAGAAAACAUUUAUAUAAGCAGUUGCUAACACAUUUGUAUAGGCAUACAGAGAACUCCAGCCGGUUUUCAUGGGCAAAACGUGCUUGCAGAAAACAAUUCCACAUCGACUUAUGUAAGAAAUUGAUCACUAUAUAAAUGACAUUUACAUACAUGCAUGCUACUAUAGAUUGUUAUAAAUAAAAUAUAACUUGGCCAGUGCAGGCCCACGAAGUAAUGAAUUACAGGUUCCAGCACAGUCUAGUGAUAAUUUUAAAAAUUCAAUGUUGCAUAAUCUGUACGUGACAAAGUUCAGCUACGUACGUCGUUCCAAAUUAUAACAUUUCCAGUCCAUAACCUUAAACGAUCGAGCAUAGGGUUAUGCUACUGAAGUCCGAAGAUGGGAUGAUAUUGGGCCGGGGUGAUCGUUUUGGUUUUUUCAGGAAAAAAAAGUCAAACGACAUAAAAAGUUUAUGAAAAAACUUUUUAUAUAUAUGUAUUCUUUGUGAUAAGAAAAUCUCAAAAUCAACUCUAUUUUAAAUAUAAAAAAUUUAAAUUUUAGCUUAUAAACAUAAGCAAAAGUGAAAAUACAUGGGUGAUAAGAUCAAAGCAUAUGUUAGGUUGAGAUACGAUGACCAUAGAUACAGUUUAAGAGAGGAUUAAUUAGCAGAGUUAGGCUGCGAGGAACUAUAUAUACAUAUGUACGGUGGGUAAUGUAAAUAUGUGAUCACUAAUUAGUCCUGUCAAUACUACAGUUUGGAAAUUACUAGAUUUCCAGUGAUUCAUGAAAUUGCGCGUAGCUCUCAAUUUGGGGAGGGGGGAGUGGUGGAACUGACCGGCCAUGGUGAUUCGCUGAUAUAUAGUUACGAUCGACAACGACUGCAGUUAGUACGUACGUAGUAUACCGUAUACGUAUAGUCUGCAGAGUCGUCCAAGGUUAGGGUACCCGUAGAGUGAGGCUGCCAUGCAGUGGCAUGCCCCCACCAUUAUUCAACCCAAGAUUCUUUACCAAAAAAAUCAAAUAUGUAUACUAUGUAUCCCGUAUAUGUUCUCAGCAAAAUAAAUAAGACAGCCACUUUAACCCAAAAAAGCAAAAAAUAACUAAGUUUACUGGGCCAUUUGCAUCAUCCACUCUUAUUUUGGCCCAAUUUGUAGCCAAAGCCCAUUUUUCCCACUACCACAGACCAAACCAGAAAAGGCGAUCGCACAAACGCCGCUGGCCAAGAGGCUAGAAUGCGUAUCAGGAGGUAUACAGCACGAACGAGCACAGUGGAUUUGGUCAAGGUUGUCUUUUUAGGCCCACGGUUGCUCCUUUUUCAUAGGUAUAGUCAAAUAGCCCACAGUCCAAAAUACAUUUUCCUUUUUAAAAUAACACCUUUCAAAUUUAUACUCACAAUUUUCAUAUGUAUAAAAUUUAUAUGUACAAAGUUUCUACAUAUAAAGUCUAUAUACAAAUCUCACAAAAAUUUUAUAUGUAUAAAUAUAUAUGUGCAAAGUCUGUGUGUAUGAAGUUUGUAUGUACAUAUUAUCUAUGAGUAAAGUGUCAUACAUAUCUACAAAAUAUUAUACAUAUAUAUAUAUAUAAAGUGUUUUAUGUUAAAAUAUAUACGUAUAAAUUUUCUAAGCCAAUGUACCGUCGGCAUAGUAAAAACUAAUUGCUUUGUGGCGUUAACUUUAAACAGGCCAAAAUACAAAUACAAAUGGGCCAAACCCGAGAACAAGUAUGUUGGGCCGGUGGCACACAAAAUAAGAAAAAGCGCAAAACAGAAACGCACACGUGUUGUUGGUGUUUUUGAUUCGAGCAUGUCAUCAGGUGCACGAAAAAUCGCUAAUUAGACCGACCCGACCAAACCUAUCUAAUUGUAGGCUGGCACUUGGGUUGGCCGGGCGGCAGCUUGGGCAGAGGUGAGCCGGCGGCCGGCGCUAGGGAGGCAUCUACCGCUCAGAAGUUGAUAAAAUGCCUAAGACCAUAUCCACGAGCAUGGUUAAAAUUUAGCUUUCUAAAUUUUAAUUUAGCAGUAUAUAUAUGAAAAGAUUUUAUCCCUGAAUUGAUAUUCACUUCAACCGAUUCUUCACUCUUACUCUCUAAAUCUCCUAACGGUUAGUUAAACUAUCCAACUUUUGGAAACUCCAACACUCAGUGGGAAGGAGACUUGGUAGAUUUGCCUACCAAUGAAGAAAGUUUAGCUAUUUUAAAUAGCAUGACAAAUUAUGAGUAGUCUCUUGGUGGUCACUUUUACAAUAUAAUUAUUAGUAUAGAAAGUAAUUUGAUUUCUUCGAGAUGUUCUAAGGUGAGUGAUGUCAAGAGUUUAUGUAAAAUUGGCUCUACAUGUGUAGCCAGCCUCUACAUCCAUUGCCCACCACUGCUGCCAUGCACGUACGUAUCGCGUGUAGCCUAUUGAAUUUGAACGUGUGCGCUAGCUACCUAGCUAGAUUAGACAAUAAUUAUAUUUGUUCAUGCUUGGAUUAAUCAUAAUGAUCAUGCCUAGAUCUGUCUAAGUAGUAGGGCUAAGGGGGUCGCAUGCAAAAUUGUUAGUCCCCUCCUCCCUCAAUCGCACAUGGGUGACACACAUCUACGAGUGCGGAUAAAACACCCAGUACGAGAACGUCAAGAGGACACCUACAAAAGUAGCAAGUCAUAUUGGCCGCCUCACCCCUAUACCAGGGUCCAACAGGUGACUGAGACGCUCAAUUUCAAGCUCAGCCAGUAGGUGUUUUAGAUAUAUAACCCCCUAGUUAGGGUUAAGAGUAUAUUUUUGUAUUUUUUGCAACAAAAAUCUAUUAAAAUUUUUAAUAAAAUAAAUAAAGAAAUUAAUCGAUAACUAGUUAAUUUUCGGCUUCUCUCCAUAACAACGACUCAUAUAUUUCUUUUCCCCGAUAAAUGCGGUAGAAAUUAUUGGUCAAUGUUUAUUUUACAGGCCAUUUCAUUAUCUAAAACAUUUUCUUUUAGCAAGGAGAGAGUAACUACUAAGAACCAGAGAGAUCCAAUGUGAUCCCAGACCGUGUUGUUUUCUAAUACUACAUUUUGGAAUUUCCAUUCGCAAACAUCUUAAAUUAUGCAUUCCGUGCAAAAAAAUUUAUUCUAUAAAACCUUCCUAGAAACAACUUUUCAACUUAUACGAGCCAAUUUAUUCGUUUAUGGCCUCUAAUAGCUAAUCCAAAGAUAAGAUAAGUCAUUAACUUGAACUAUCUCAAACGGACCUGGUUUAGGAGCAGCCCUGCUUCCCAGGAAUUUUUUUUUUAUUUUUUAAAGUUUUUAAUAAAUAAUUUUAUUACUAAACCUCAAGAGAAAAAUUUUUACUAGAUGAACCUUUUGAUCACGCCACCAACAUUGACAUAACAAAACAACAUUGUCACGCAGAGUUUUUAGUGUGGUAGACUUACCACGCCAGACAAACACGCAGAGUUUUUGGCCUACCAUGCAACCGACACUGGUGAAAAUAGUUUCUCUUGAGAUUCAGUAAUAAAAUUAUUUAUUAAAAAUUGUUUAAAAAAUAAAAAAAUCGCUUCCCAGUAAGUCAGAACGUUAGUUCAAAUGAGAUUUUAAUUUGUAAGCAUGGAGAAAAGAUGUAUCAAGCUGGCGAACUUAAACAAUUCACAGCGUGAAUCCAGAUUUAGUCCGAUGCAGAGGUGAGAACAUGUGUCAGAAUUCAGAUAUUAUCAAUCAGAGUACUGGAUUAGCAUCUCACAAGUGAACUCCAGAUACUAUCAAUCAGAGUACUGCAUUAGCAUCUCACAAGUCAACUCCAGAUACCCUGAAAUGAACAGCAGCAUAAACAUACGGCACUAGCAACAGACCCCNNNNNNNNNNNNNNNNNNNNNNNNNNNNNNNNNNNNNNNNNNCCCCAAAGAUAGGUAGAUUCAACAGCACAGUUGCGGACAACACUUGCUGCAUGGACCAUAUGCAUCCAUAUGAGCUUAUAGGGGAAAACACAGAGAAGAUGCAUGAACAUGAGCAAUCAGAUGCGUGCACAAUCAAACCGCAAAUGUUGACUCAGAAAACUUCCAUGAAAGCGAAAUCGCACCACAAUGGGAACCAAUACCAUACCUUUUUGCUGCCAAUUGGGCUGCGCUGCCGUCGACGCUGCUGCGAAAAAUAUGCAAGGAAGGGGGCAAAAAAAAGAAGAUGAGAAACACAAGAGAAUAAAGUUCCUUACAAGUUGCCAAAACAAAAAGGUAAUAUUCACCAUGAAUGAGCCAUUUUUUCCCAUCUCUUGUCAACGUCCUGCAACAGAGAGCAAAAACAACUUCUCCAGCCGUGCCGUUACGUAUCAUAUCAUCCAUGGUUUUUAUGCCUUUCACACAGAUCAUCAACCCUUAAUUCCUGAUAUUCCACUAGACCCAAAAAAUUCCUGAUAUUCAACCAGACCAAGUAUAACUAAAAUAAAUUCUCCAAGGCGAUAUUCGUCCAUUGGUAAGAUAAAGUGGAGCAGUAUAAAUAUGAUGUUUGAUGCUUGCGAUUCACAUCUAAGAGUCCAUAGGGCAGUCACAAAAGAAGUCUAAUUAUAUAUUUGAGAAUUGACAAAGUUCAGAGAGUGACGCAAAAGUAGCAUUUUAAAAAAGUGAGAAACAGAAGAAAUCAACCUGAAGACAAAAAUGAAUAAUUAGGUGCAGCUGUGUCACGGUUUACUCAAGAACGUAAAGAAGAAUGCAAAGUUCGAAAUGAAACUACAACAUCAAAGUCAGCCAAACAAAGACAAACUAUAAAAAAAGAGAAUGCAAUGACAUGCAUGCCCCAUCAAACAAUUCAACCAACUUGAAAGAUUUCUUUGCAAGAAGUCAAGCUUGUACAAACUGCAAGAUGGAACACCAUACCAGAAUAGUACAACAGUGACUUCUGACAAAUUAUUGAUAUGUACCUAUGGAUGCAAUAUAUUCUAUUGAAUUUUGCAAGCAGCAAAAAGCAGACACUUUAAUCAUAUAUGGUGAAUUGAUAACUUCAAGGUUGAAAAGGGGAAGCUUCACCAACACAUUAGAACACUGCAAAGAUGUGAAACUUCUACAUCUAACUGGUCAUCGAUGAUUCUACAUCAUAAACUGGUAGAGAAGUCCUACAGAGUUGAACAACCAAACAUGAUACAUUUAGUAUUUUACUGAACUGACCAACUAUUUGCUGUCGCAACCAAGGGAAAAAUAAUCACCAAAAAGCUUUAAAUUCAGAAUUUACGCAAUUAGCGAAAUCAACGAUUGGCAUUUCAAAUAUGCAAGUUUUUUAACCAAAACAAACAAAUGUGCAUCACAAGCUUACAACAUGAACAAGGAUCAAACUGUGUCCAAAGUUUAGCAUUAGCAUGUGAAAAAUGCCAUGGUCUUUCUCUUACAAAGUAGAAAGGUCACUUUUCUUGGUAGAUUUGAUUGCUACUCCCUCCGUAUCAUAUUAUAAGUUAUUUUGGGUUUGUCCAAAAUCAAACAUCUUCCAGUUUAACCGAAUUUAUAUAAAAAAAAUGUACUAACAUCUACAACACCAAAUUAGUUUCAUCAAAUCCAUCAGUGAUAUUUUUAUUUUUAUAGUAUAUUUAUUUUGUGUUUAAAAUGUUGCUAUAUUUUUCAAUAAACUUGGUCAAAUUUGAAGAGGUUUAACUUAGGACAAACCCAAAGUAACUUAUAAUAUAAAAUAGAAGGAAUAAGUAUUAACACUAAAAUGAUGGAUCAGCUAGAUAAAAAAGCAAUUUAGCACAACAUUCCUUCUUUGCAAAAGAAGCUUUGAAACAGCCUAUUUCUCUAAUUCAAAAUGUUUAUGACCCAAAGAAGAUGCUGUAUAGUAGGACAGUUAGCACAUUUCCUUCUUUUGACAAAGAAGCUUUGAAACAUCUUAUUCACUAAUUAAAGUUACUUAGAAUAAUGUUGUAUAGUAUGACUAAUCUUCACUACACAAAGAAAUGAAUAGUAUAAAUAAUCAUGCUAUUCAACACAUUUAUUAGAACUGCACAAAAUUAUAAAUGACAAUUUAUUACUAUAGCUCAACAUAAAGAGUGUUAGCUAUCCCAAAAUGGUAAAAGUCACCAGUUAUUUUAACUCACUUUAACAGAGCCUAGAAUCCACGAAAUUCUGAAGUCCUAAAACAGAAUUUACCGUUUAUCAGAAAAGGCAGUAGCUCCACUAAUUUCACCAAGCUACAGAAAAGUAUCAGUGACUCCAGGAAACUAAUCUUAUUGCCAAAGCGGUUGACGGUUACUUCCUGAUGUAGUAGUUUUUAUGUGUGAACUUAACAUAAGUAGCGUUACAACAGAAUAUGUAACCAAACAAUCAUGGAUGGCUCAAAGCUGUAAAUUAUGGAUGAUUAUCAAUUAGCUAACAAUGUAACUGUUCCAUCUCAGUGUUUAAUAUAUCUGUAAGCAUGAUCCAUGAAUAACGGAAAAUUUGUUUAUAGUAUAUCAGUCAGGUUUUGCUUCACAGGCAUUAUGCAAUAGAGAAUUUGAGUUAAUUUUCCAGAAAGAACCUGGCUACUCUCGAGUUGCAUUAACUUGGUUAAUGUCAUGUUUCUCUGUUAUUCACAGGUCAUGAUAUCAGCUUCUGCAAUGCAUUAAAGGAACGUUAUUGAUGCACUAUUAUACUUAACUUUAAAUACAUUUCAAAAAUAAUCCAGAAAGAAAUAAAUGGCAUAGCAACAAAAAAAAAUGAUGAUUCAUACAGUUAGAGGCAAGGACAAGACAAAAAUAAAAGUGAAGUUAAUGAUUUUCUUUGGAUCAAAGAAUGAAAGCAACCAAAUUAGGAGUCCAACCUAACAGUGUCAACAUUUGCAAUAGUCAAAUAUUAAGAGGACAACUAGAAAGGUAUCCUUCCAAAUCUUGAUGAUACAAGAUUGACUGAAAGGGAAACCAUUCCAUGUUGGAUUUGAUCCAAGUAGAGGGUGUCAAUUUCUAAGAGCUAGAAAAUCCAAAGGGUGAUUGGCCUGAGUCAAAUUCAUACAAACAAUGAAACAAACAGAAAAGAUCUGGCAUAAUACAUAGGAUAAAGAACAGGUCAAAAAUUAUGGCCAUGAAUAUGAAAUACAUGACAAGCAUAAUUGAUGAUCCUUCUUUGAUCCAGGUUAUAGACAAUCAUACUAUCAAAAUAACUUGCUUCAUCAUCAUCAAUGAUGGAAAGCCGCUAAAAAUUGUUGUUCAUGGAUUAUUCAUAAGGCUUUUUUUUUGCAUGGUAUCAUCUUCGAAAUCAUGAUAUUGAUCCAAAUGUAAAUUAAGAAGUGGAUUAGCUGGGGGAGAAAACAGAUGUAUUAGAACUCAAGGGUUACAAGAAACUUCUGCUGCUCUGCUGAGGUCGAUGGCAGAAAGUCUUGACAAAGAAUGAAUGUUGAAGCUAAUCAGGUCUGCCUUUAUGCAUAUCUCUUUGUAAAAUCACUGUACUCAUCCUUGGUCCAGUGAACUAGCAGCCCAUCACAGCACAAUUAUACACAAAAUUUCCAGAUGGCCGUCUGUCAAUCAAAUCCCACUCAGGUUGCUUGUCAUCCGGGUUCCAUGAGUUGAUCUCAAUUGUACCACCAACUGGAGUUCUGGGACCACCAAUGACAAUCAGCCUCUCACCACAUGCCCUAAAUGCAAGUCCCCAGCCAUUCAUCGAUACAGAACGCUCUGGUAAAUUUCCAAGUGUUAUCCACUUAUUAUUCUUCUUAUCAUACUUCUUCACAACCUUUUCACUGUAAUUAGCAGCAUAUAGCUCAUCCUUCACAACCGCAAUAAGUGGGGGUGCGCCGCUCACUCCAUUGAGACCUUCAGACAUGUCUUCAAUCACCUUCCAAGUCUGGCUCUGUAUGUCAUACUCCUCACCGCAGGUCAAGACCUUGUUGUUGUUGGUCACACCACCAAGGACAUAGAACUUGCCAUCCAUGAACACCCCAGAGCAAUUCUUUCUUGCUCUAUUCAUGCUAGGGAGGGGUGCCCAUGUAUGUGUUUCGGAGUUAUACACCUCUGCUGAGUUGAGUAUCCUGCCAAAAGAAUCAGUACCACCGGCCACAUACGCCUUCUCCCCAACGCUUGCUGACCCGAACAGACACCGUGGGGCGUUCAUCACCUCGCCCCGUGUCCAAGAGUUAGUCAGUAUGCUAUAUCUGAAGACAAGGUGUGUCAUCCCAAACACGAGCAGCUCAGUGCCCACGGCCAGAGACUCCUUAUCUGAGCACAUGAAACACUGAUCAUGUGGCAUCUUGGGCACAGAGAUCCAUCGCCUGCGGUACGGGUCGUAGGCAUCCCACUCCAACACAUUGCAGGAGAAGUACACCCAAUGCUCAGAGAUCUUAUUCUGCCGCCGCAGCCGGUAGAUCUCCCCUCCGCGCACCAGCGAGCGAAAAUCCUGGUUAAGCGAUGCCACGCGGCCGUACUCAGACCGUGACAGCUUGAGCAGGCAGUUGAUGGAAAGGUCACGGCCAAUCUCCCCGAUGAGAUUACUCCCACCACCGCCGUUCUGCUCCCCUCCACCACCGGCGGCGGCAGCAGCAGCGCGGCGUCCGGGGGGGCCAUGCGCCUCACGGAUGUCGGGCGUGUGCGGCUGCGGCGACGGCGGCUUGCUGCGCUUGCCGCCGUCGUCCACCUCCUCCAGGCCAAGGCCGUCGACGUCGUCGACGUCUUCCGGCGCGGCGCGCUUGCGGCUCCCGCCGGGGAGGAGCUCCGGCGCCAGGCACCCCCACCUCGCCUCCUCCGCCUCCCCGCCCNNNNNNNNNNNNNNNNNNNNNNNNNNNNNNNNNNNNNNNNNNNNNNNNNNNNNNNNNNNNNNNNNNNNNNNNNNNNNNNNNNNNNNNNNNNCCUCUCGUGAGUCAGGGCGGUCGCCUCGCCUCGCCUCGCCUCGCGGCGCUCCAAUCUACUGCGAGAGAGAAGAGAGAAAGAGAGGCGAUUACGAAUUGAAACAACAAAUCGCCAUGAACGCCGCCGGCUCAAACAACCACACAGAUCCGAUCCGAUCCGAUCCGAGAAGACAACGCAUCGGGAGAUCGAAGCCCACCAACCACCCAACAAAUCAACUGCCCCAAAUCCAGCAACAUCCCAACCCGAUCCACGAAACGCCCCCCACCCCCAAAUCAAUCCCCCAACCCCACAACGCAAGGAACGCACCUGUACAGCUCAAAUCAACCGGCGGUGGCGGCGGCGGCUGGAUCCGUGAAGCACCGAGCACCGAGCACCGAGCACCGAGCCAAGCAGAAUCAGACCAUCCCAAUCCCAAUCCCAGAAAAAUCCCCUCCUCCUCCUCCGCCUCAGCCUAAGCGGAGAAACGGAGCUGCAUCCGCGUGCGGCGCCUAUAUAUAGAUAGAAGCGGCCGCAGGAGAGCAGGAAGGGGGGGGGGGGAUUCUGCUGCCGCCGCCGCUGCUGCUGCUGCUGCUUCUUCUUCUUCUUCUUCCUCUGCCGCCGCUGCUGCUGCUGCUGCCGCCGCCGCUGCUUUUCUCCUCUCUCUCUCUCUCUCUCUUUUGUGCGCCGCUGCCGCUGCCGACUGCCGCUGCCGCUGCUGGGGGACUUGGGUGUACUUGGGAUUCUUCUCGAUUUUAUAUAUUUUUUUGUUUUUAUAUUUUUUUUCUUCAAUGUGUAUGUUUUUCUUUUCAUUUUUUUAUAUAAUUUGGUUGGGGUCUUUUAUGUAGCCAGCUCACGAGAUUGCCAGCUCAGCCUGUGGUUGCCGCCUCCGUGUGUGUAUGUGUUUUUUUUUCUCUUUCUCUCGCCCUCUUUUCUGUUUUUGGAUGGUCCUCUGUCACAGGGCAGUUUCCCAUAUUUGCUUUUAUCGAGUUUGAUAGAGGGAGAAAAAUACUACAUCCUUUUCAAAAUGUAACACUUUUUCAUAUAACGUUUGAUUAUUAUCUUAUUUAAAAAUUUAGUAUAAAUGUAAAAAAAUGACAAAUCGUGUUUAAAGUUCUUUUAAUAAUAAAGUAAGUCACGAGCAAAAUAAAUGAUAUUUUUAUAAUUUUUUAAAUAAGAGAAAUGGUUAAACAUUACAAGCAAAAAAAGUCAAACAUAGAAUAGUUUCGAUUUUAGGAUUAACCUGUCUAAAUGUUUGGAGAGAAACACUAGCUAUUACUCGUCUUUGUAGUUAAUUUAGCUUAUGCUAAAAUUUGAGAAGAAAAGAUUAUAAUACCUUUGUUAAAUAGCGUAUGGUUACGAGUAGUUAUGAGUAAUUAGGUGGUCAGGAGUAUGAUAGGAAAAUUAUGAACGGAAUGUGAUUAAUUGGAUAAGUUAUACUCUAGAAUGACAACUAUUUUGGGAGAAAUUUUGAAAUAAGCAUUUUGGGUCGGAGGUAAUACUUAUUAGCGAUGAAAAUUUGUAAAAUGGGUUAAAAAAAAUUAGUUAUGCCGAAAGAAGUUAUAGAACCAAUCUUUCUAUACGUCAAAGCAAGGGGCAAAACCAUAAUACUAUGUCCCCGUUAUAUAUUUUUGAAUUAUAAUUUAAGGGUAUAAAGAUCGAACUAACUGCUGCAAAAUUAAUAUUUUAUUUUACAAAAGUCGUAUGAAAACUUUUAUGUGCUUGAAAGGUGUGCCAACAAAAAAUUCAUAGUCUGCAUAGCAAAAUAACACAGCCCAUGUGUACAAAGAAAAGAAAGAGAAAAAUAAAUUGAUAAAAAAGGAUAACAUGUUACUAAAUAGACAAAUUUCCCCUGUGAAUUAAAUGAUAAAUCCUGAAAGUGGUGUGAAUUGAGUGUUCAACGGUGAAAUUUAUCGGGAAUAUGGAGCUAGUAAUUCCAGACGAAUGGCUACCUUUCAUGAUGAAUAACAUUUUCACUUUCUAACCAUUUGAAAAUGGUCGUAGAUUGAAAAAAAAGGGAAAUGGUGGCGUAAAAAAUAUGGAGUGGAAAUGGAAAUGAUUUUCAAAAUUAUUGUUUUGUUGGUAUAGAUGUUGUUUUCUUUUAUUUAUCGUAUUUUUCCAGAGAUUACUAUUAUUUGAUUUCUAAAUAUAGUAGAGUUCCAUCAAGCUCUCUCGCUGAACUUUAUUUUGAGUGCUGGACUCAAUGGGAGGCCAUUCACAAUUUGCAUAUAGCAUGUAAGAACUAAUAUUGUUAGAAUCAUCUAAGUGUUUUUGAUAAUGGAUAAGAUCAUCUGGCCUUUACUUCAACACAAGUUACGACCACUUAUUACAAGGUUUGUAACCGACACGAAGCAUUAUUACAAAAGUUUUCAAAGAAGACAAAAGGAAACUAACAGACAACAAAUUUGAGAGGAGAUACUAUAAAUGUAGGAAAGGCUAUCGUUGGUUCUCCAUCAAAAAUUGACGAACACUUGCAUAAUAGUCAUUUUGGCUUCUGCAUGCAUUAAAAAUAGAUCCUUAUCAUCUCAUCAUCACACAUUUGUAGAUGCGUCCAAAAACCGAACAAUAGGUCGCUAUGAAGAUUACCUGCAAAUAUGAUUUAACUAGAAUUUUGUUAAUAAAAAACAUAUCUAUCAUAGAGUGCACAAACAUAUUUUAAUCAUUCUACAUCCUUCAUGCAACAUUCCUCAAAUUCGACGAUAAAAUCAUCUUCAUAAGACCGGACGAAUAGGAUGGACUCCACUUCUCCCUAUGCAAGUUACAUAAUUGCCAUCCAUACUUGAAAACUUGUAAUUUAUUACAAUAUGGUCUAACCUAUAAUUAAUCGCGCAAAGUUACAAAAGUCACUAUUUGCUGGUGGUUUGCCGCUCUUUUGUCAGAGUUUGUUUAAAUAUUAGAUUAAUAAAUGUUUGAUAGAUAAAUAAAUCCGAAUGUUCGGUUUAUAUAUGAUUGCAUUUAAAAGAACUUAUAAGAAAGAAUUUAUAUUAUUAAAUUGAGCCAUGACGUUAGCACGGGUAUAGUACUAGUCAUUCCUAGUUAGCCACAGAGUCCAACCUAAAACAUAUGCUCCUACAAGUAUGGGUUUUUUACAAGUCCACCCCACUUAACCAAGUCCCAAACGUGUGUGAUACACUUGCGGGUGGAUUUAAGAAGUAUUAUGUGUGUAUAUACAAUUCCCUAAAGAAACUUAGCAAUAUGGCAUUCAAAGAAUAGAUGUAAGAUAGUCUCAUUAUGCAUACAAAAGCAACAUUUCAUAAUAUCGUUCCAAUUCUUUUAGCUAAAUUAUCUUUUGUUAAAAUAACUCAUUUAGACCAAUACCACGGAAAAACUCUAAUUUUGAGUAGUGGUUUCAAUUUCAAAAUCAAUUUAUAUAUUUCUGAGUAACCAUUAUUAAUUAAGGAUAAGUAUAUAGCAUGCACAUAGAAAAUUGACCAUUUUGGUAAAGAUUCCAUCUGAACAUAUCUUCAUCCUCAUCAAGCCUAAGAUGCACAAUUGAAGCAACUAGAUUAUGCCAUAAAGCGAGAUUCAAAAACACUAAAGCCCUUCUAAAGGACGCAUUUAAUGGAACGGAAUUAAGCAUAGUUAAAAAAAUCAUUUUUAUUUCGAUAUAUGUUCAUAAAGAAGGAUACUACACCAUAAAAGAAUCAUUACCGAUCCAAUGUCCUCCCAAAAUCUAAUCAGUUUACCAACACCAAUAAUAAAAGAUCCCAUACAUACAAACCUAUUUUUCACUUUCAUAACCCUAGAGAAAAAAAAAAUCCCCAUGCUUCUUUUGGACUUAUGUAAUCGUCUAAUUCUUGAUAUAUUUUCUCCUAAGUAAAUUUCACCCAAUACUAUCAUCAUUUAUCAGCCUAAACAACCAUUUACUCAGAAGACAUUGGUUUUAUAUAUACUCUUAACACCAAGACCAUCUUGAUCCUUAGGUUCACAAAUGAUAUCUCAUCUAGUUAAGUGCUUUUUUCCUUGUGGUUAUCGCUCUGCCAGCGAAAUAUAGAUAUAUAGUAAUCAAUCUUUUCUUGUACUCCUUCAAAAACUUCGAAAAAAGAGAUCAUAAACAUGGAAGCUUUCCUUUCCAACUACUUAGCUACUUCUCUAUUAUUCCUCUGAUAACCUUCCAAUCCUUAUUUGAAUGCUUCCUAAAAUUCAUUGGGAAUACAUAGGUUUUUUUAAAAAGUAUCGGUUUGACAUCCAAACAUUUGAGAGUAGUCUUGUUCAAAAUCCCUAGCCUGACCAAAUUAGAAGAGUUCACUCUUAUGAAAAAUUUCUUUGAUUCUGGAAAGUUUUUUCUCAAAGAUGGAAAGUAACAACUUCAAAUUUUUAGCACUCUCCAAAUCAUGUUCCAAAAAAAAUUAGAGUAUCAUCUACGUACUAUAAAAUUGAUAGUCUAUCACAAAAAAGAAAUGGCAAUACUCCAGUAAUUUGUCCCUCUUGUUUAGCACUCUGUAUUAGGAUAGCUAACAUAUCAACCACAAUAUUAAAAAAGAUUAAAGAUGAUUAAUCACCUUGUUUUAAACCUUUUUAGUUUGGAAAUUAGCACUCACUUGAUCAUUCACCUUAAUACAAAUGUGACCAACUUGAAUGAAAGAAGCAAUCCAUUGACACCACUUAGGUGAAAGUCUUUCAUUCUUAGGUCUAUAGUACAAAAGAUCACUUAAACUUAUCAUAGUUUUCUCAAAAUCAAUCUUUAAGAUAUAUAAUAGUGCUAAGUUAUAUAUGUGAUUUUAUAGCUUACAAUUACUAACAUAUUUCUUCCUAAUCGAUAUCGCCAUAUUUCCAUCUAAGUAGUUCCUUUUUAUUUAUUUUUCAAUUUUGUUUUUGUUUCCAACUUUAUCAUUUUCAAUGCAUUCCGAAAAACUAAUACUAUGAAAAUGAUUGAGAUUAGUAAGACAAGCUACCACGAAACAUUGUUAGAACAUCAACACAGUACCAUGACAAUAAAGUUUGUGUUCACCAUGUCAUAGUAACGUUAAUCAUAAGAUCGAUCAAGACUAUAGACUAUUAUUGUUGGACGUCCAAAUAGUCAACACAUUAACAAUAGCAUCAGAGAUAUAUCUAUGGUAAAUAAGAAUGAGUAUUUUGGGUUCUAAAAAUAUUUAGUUAAUUAGAACUGUAUUUUUAUGUUAAAUAAGUAAAUUUCUUAACGUAUCAAAUGAUGCAUCCUAGCAGAAUAUUUUUUAAUCACUUAAACAUACAUACACCCUCUAAUAAUAACGAACGAGAAUCACAACUAAUAGAAACAUCAUUAGUAAUUUCACUUUGUUAAAACAUUUUAUAUAUUUUCUAACUACAAAGAACUCGUGCGAUAUAUAUUUGCUUGGUAUUAUAUGAUCAUUUUAUAUUUCAUUUAAAUAUCUCUUUAUGUAAUAUAAAAAGACACAACAAAAUUUGUUUUGAAACUCAUAACAAAUUUAGACUUUUAAUUAUGUCAUGUUUGUAUAAAGUAGAUUUCAUUAAAUUUAAUUUUAUAGAGAUUAAAUUUUAUAUUAGUGUAAAUAAACCAUUUAAUUAAAAAAGAUUAGUGUAUGAAUUUGUUAUCACAAUAUUUCUGAAAUUAUUGUAUGAACUUGGACCUAUAGGUUCUUCAAUUACCGUCCAAACUUAAAAAACUUGUAAUUGCAAUGUGUAUCAAGCUAUAAUUAAUUAUGAAAAACUAUAAUAGUCACUAUUAACUUGUGGCUUGCUACUGCCUUCCCAAAGUUUGUUUAAAUAGUUAUAUUAACAAAUUAUUGACAGACAAAUAACUUCAAAUACUCGGUUUAUAUGAUUAUGUUUGAAAGAAUUUAUAAUAUCUUAUUUAUACUACUAAAUUAAACGGUAACGUUAGCGUGAAUAUAAUACUAGUAAAAGCUAUAUAAGCAUAAGGAUGCUAACUCAACUAACAAAAGGGAAGAGAGAAAGAUUAUGGCAAAUCCCAGGUCGACGUGAUCAACGAGCGCAAAUUGCACACGCGACCCACAGGAUUGGAACCCGUCCACUUGUCUUUUGCAAAAGUGUCCGCUAACUAAAAUACUACUUGUCCACCAAUUAAGUAUUCUUCCUGGCUCGUCGACCAAGUAGACUACCUUUGGUUUUUGACCUCUACUAAAGUUUUGUAAGAAAGUUGCUAUGCACACCAUUAUAUUUGACAAAAUUUUGUUUGGCAGGCAUCGACCUUUGUGUUACUUGGGAAGUGGCUUAAAUGCUUAGAUACUUCUGAAUUUGUAGCGUGUAAAAAUUACCAAAAUACAACCUUGGUAAGAUUUUCUAGACUUUAUCUUAGAUUCAUCCAUUCAUUAUAUAUACUAUUUGAAUAUAUAUAUAUAUAUAUAUUUAUUAGCAUCCAUAUAAAAUCUAGACAAGAUUAAAAAGUUUUAUAUUGUAAAAUAAAUGAAGUACAUUUUUACCCAUAAAUUGAACUUUGACCGGAAAUAAUUUAACACAUAUACAUAAUUAGUAGUAUAACUUUUUAUUUCAAAUAUAUAUUAUUCUGGUAUCAUGUAUAUGUUGGAUAACUACCUAGAUCGUUUAAGCUACGGCUGAUAAGUUUAAUAAAACAAAGCAAAAAAAACAAUGUGUAGAUAAAACUCUUUAUAUUUUUAUUGGUAGAAUUCUAAAAUCCAAUGCUGAAAAAUAUAUUAUGAUUAAAACUCAAAAUAAAUCUAAAAUUCUGUUUCAAACGCAAAACACCCCUAAAACAUAUCAUUUAUAAAGCUUCGAGCCCGCGUUUUCUCCCCCAUCCUUUCUAACCAAUAAGAAGUUAUUUCCACAUUUUCAGGUGUAACUUGGGCCAAUCUUAAUCGAGAUUUCAUGAAGAUGUCAUAUACAUUAAUUAGGUGACACAUCGGCACAAAUGAAAAUAUUUGCAUGAAAGUAUGAUGAGAGAGAAGGAAUUAGUUUUAUAGCCAUAAAACCUUUGGGCACCGUUAUAAGUCCUUGGUAACGUAGUGAAACUUGCAUUGAGACGCUUGAGACGUUUCAUGCAAACAAACACUCUCUACAUGCAAUUAAACUUUUAACAGUAAUUAAAUGCUUUAUUUAGUUUUGAAAAUAGUACAAUGAAACGUUACACUAUGAGUAGAUGUUUCAUCGUUUCAUCGAGUUAGCUGUUUUAUAAACUGUAUAGUAAAACUGAUCCUUGAGGCUGGCCUUAAGAGAGGGCAUUGACUAGUGAGUGAAGGGAAUAAAGUCAAAUGGAUAGUUAUACUCUCUUUAUCUCUAAAUGUUUAACAUCAUUGACUUUUUUAAACAUGUUUGAUCAUUCGUCUUGUUCAAUUUUUUUAAAAAAUAUAUAAAACUAUAUAUAUAUACAUAAAAGUAUACUUAACAAUAAAUCAAAUGAUAUAAAAAUAAUUAAUAAUUAUGUAAAUUUUUAAAUAAGACGAAUGGUCAAACGAACCUAAAAAAGUCAACGGCGUCAAACAUUUAGGGACGUAGUAUUUAUAUAACCAAAUCUCAAGGCAGGCGACCUGAUGCUCCACGUGGCAAGCAUCCGACGGCCUGACCACCGCGGGGUGGUGAGGUGUACCGCGUUGGGCCGCACGUGCAGGGAGCAUGCGCCUGCACCUGCGUACGUGCGCCGGAGCUCUUCACGCCUCUCCAGUCGCGUCGCCAGUCGCCACCCUGCAGCUAGUGCAACAAUUACUUUAUAUCUCUGAAAUAUAAUUCUGAAAUAUAAUGUGCAGAGUAUAUAUCGUGCUUGAUUAACAAUUUCCUCUAUAUUAGAAUAUAUUUUUAACGCAAAUUUGAUGUUGUUAGAUUCGUGUUUCAAAAGUAUUUCAUUAAGAUUAUGCUUUUUUAUAAUAUAUAUAUAUAUAUAUAACAAUGUUUGGCACCGUUAACUUCGAAUAUUAGAAUUUGACCAUUCAUCUGUACCAUACUAAAAAGACUACCACUAGAGUGAAUGACGUGUGGGCCCCUUCUGUCAGUGUAUAACAACUCUUCACCCUGACUAGCGAUUAAAAAAUCCGUCGCUUGCCAAUCUCGCCACCACCCCUCUUCUCACCGAGCCGCGCCCUGGCAUUCUGUGCUGCGCCGCCGAAGCAUGGCCCUUGACACUCCUUUUCUCCGCGCUUCCGCCGUCCUCGCAUGCAUCGCCAGCGGAGGAAGGAUGGGGCCAGGCCGACGGAGGGAGGACGGCGCCAGCGGAGGGAGGCGCGCCACCCCGAGCCUCGUGAGCCACCGCGUCGAUCCGCCACCCUGACCCAUCGGUGAAGGUGAGCUGGCGAGCGGGCAGACACCGGCCGCGAAGGGCAUGGAGCAGCGUCAGCCAAGAAACGUUGACGACGUGGGUGGCCGACGCAGGCGACGAAAGGAGCAGAGGAGGCGCGGCGACCAACGCCGACGCUGGCGGCGGAGGCGCGGAGUGGAGAGAAGGGCAGUGAAGGCACAGAGUUGAGAGGAGAGGGGCGGCGGCGACGGCUGGGAGUGGGUGGAGAGAGGAGAGAGAAGAGAGGGGAAAGGGUGAGGGUAUAUAUAUGUUGUAAGUUGUUGGAUCUAUUGGGACAAAUUUACUGUAAAUUUACAUUUGAGGGCCCAUGGGCCUCUUCUUUUAAUUGAUGUUCAUGGUAUAUACACCAAAAGAUGGUGGGAUUAAUAUGCUAAUAUUGGUAUUGACAUAUUAAUGAUAUUUUUAAAAUAUAAAAUCCCGUUGCAAUGCAUGGACAAUUUGCUAGUCUGAUUAAAAAUUUAUAACUAUAUACAUUUAGUGUAGUUAUAUUUUUGCAUGCUCGUAAUUUUUUUAUAAAACGAAAGGUCAAAUAUAUGUUUAAUAGUCAAUGGAGUUAAACAUUAAUAAAACCAGCGAGGGUAUAAUAAAAUAAAAUUGAAGGGGCACUUUAUCAUUUAUUUUCUUAAAAGAAAGACUUUUGUUAUCAAACCGUCGCCUAACAGGUGUGGCCCACCGGCCAUACAUGCAAUGCACGAGGCAGGCCAGCUCCUCCGGUCAUCAUAAUACAUAUCUACCAUGUAAUGGCCUGGAUAUGACACGAUUGCGUGCUACUACUGUUGUAUUGUAUUCUUCUUUUUUCCCCCAAAAAACUGUCCCACUAAUAAUGUAGCAAAUUAAUAGCUUUGUUUUAUCAGUGAUAGUUUAUGUCCUAUAUAUUAACUAGCUGAACGACUAUGUUUUGCAAAGGGUAAAAGCAUAUUAUGUUAUUCCUAAAAUAAAUAAAUAAAUAUUUUUCAUUAAAUAUGUGACCAUAUUUUUUAUAUAGGAAAUAUCCGUAUCAAUUUGAUUUUAUGUGGAUAUCAUCAAGAUUUUAUUGAUUUUUAAUAUUACGAAGUUAAGGUGGUAAAUUAUAAAAAUGCAAUGAAAAUAGGUGGUGGUGGCAGAUGCAUCAGUAUAGGUUUUUAUAGUAGUAAAGAUAAAGAUAUACUCUAGUAAUUGCUAGGAUUCCACUCGCUCCUUACAUUAAAAGUCUGAUCAUAGAUUAUUACAUCUAUUGUAGAACCAGCGUAUCCGAUCGAACUUCUACUCUUUACACUAGAGUCGGAAACUUGGUCGCAUUUGUAAACAAUAGAAUCGCCGUCCUCAAAAAGAAUUUUAGCAUUGGAUGGUCGGGACUUAGAAAUGAAUGUGAAACUGGCAGCAGGCGCAUCAAAGAAAGAAAUCUGAGAGGGGAGGUGGACAUGGUUAAUUAAUUAACUAGCUAGCUUUUUAUUCAGUGGUUGGUCAAUUUUGUAUCUGAAAGUUAAAUUAAUUUACAUUGCACAAGAUCCAAGCGCAAGCUGGAAGUACCGAGUGAUGUGACAGUCCUAGAAUGUGUGUGUGUAUAUAUAUAUACCCCAUGUAUGGUCCCCGUUGGUGCUGUGUUAAUUUCGAGAACUUCGAUCGAUAUAUACGCAUGAACGACACAAUCACCGCCCACGGUGGAUGUAUAUAUGGUGCUGCUCGUGCACCCAACCAUAUAUAUGGGGUAUACCGAUCAAAUCUUGUAUCAUUGGAGGCUGAGGUUCAGUAUUUUCGUUUCUUUUUAUGUUUAUAAGCUAAAAUUUAUAUUUAUAUUUUUAAAUUUAAAGUUAGUUUUUGGCUUUUUUAACGCAGUUUAUUUUUUUAUUUUGCUCUUAGAUUGCUAAGAAUAUUCUAAAACCAAGUUUUAUUCGUAAAUUAUUUUUUAUUUGUGAGCUUACUGUUACUUUUUUUUUCCUAAAAAAUCCAACCGAUUACCGCCCUCACAUAUCAACUAAUUUUCUCUAAAAAAAUGCUACGUUUUAGUCCUUUCAUCUAAACAUAUAGCUAAUUUUAUCAUUCAAAUUUAUCAAAAAGGAUACUUCUUCUUCACUUACGUUAUCCUUUCAAUAGAUUAUAACUUUAAUUCCUCAAAAAAGACAUCUCGAUACUGAGGUAUUAUUACUAUUGCAAUAAGAUUCAUGCUAAGCCUUAAUAAUCUAACUCCUACUAUCUGACUACACCAUACCGUCAUUGCUCUCUCCACAAAAAUGUACAUGCUAUCACCCUUCGUGUCAAAAGUACCCAGCUAGCACCAUCGAGAUCGUCCAUGCCCUCCCUAACAACCUCCCUCCUCUUGCUCUCGUAGAUCUGCAACAUCACCCAUCGCGUUCACCAUUAUCUUCUAGCCUAGCACCAUCCUCUGACCCAUCUUCUCCCUCAUCUCCGACGAGCUCACAACGAUAGAUACACUGUCGUUGUUGUGUCCACCACCCUCCUCUGUCCAUACCACUCCAGCACCCUACCGUUCACUGCUAGUUUUUCACCACCUAACUAUCAUUUUAAAGCUACGUUGAUCAUUCCUACACUCUCCCACCUGCUCCAACCCCAAAACCGUAACGUGACGUAGCCUAUUGAAGUUCAGAUGUGGCUGCCACGUACUAAACCUCGCUAAGGAAAUAUUCACCGUGACUGGUGGUGAGUCAUUAUCUCCUUCCUCCCACUCAGUUGGAGGUGGAAGACAAUGUAUGAUAUGUUGGAUAUUGACCGAGUGCCACUCGUCACUCGUACAGUCACGCUAUUGCAUAUGCCGUUGCUCCCUACUACGGCCAUGUUCUUUGUUAGGUUUAGUAACCGGCACGAAGGGGCGGAUAGCCCCCCUAGCCUCUCUAUGUCAUUGAAGCCCCUACUUAGCCCAUGCAAUAAAAUUUCUGAUAUUACUGAAGAGAAGGAAUGGCUAGAAGUAAUUCUUUUUCGUCCAGCCCCUUCUAAUAUUUUUUCUGGAUCCGCUACUGCCGGCACGAAAAACCAUAGUACAAGAUUAAUAUAUAUAGUUAAUUAAUAAUUAGUUAUAAAACAUAAAAAAUAGUUUGAUGUCAUAUUUUAAAACAAGAACCUAUAGAACACUUUUACUAAAGACACCGUUUGAAAAAAUGCAGUUGGAAAACUAGAGAAUACAGAUGAGUAGCAAGUGGAGAAGAACUCUUGCCUACAUAUUCUCCCUCCUCAUUGUCGUAGCUCCCCCUCUCUGCCCAACUCAUUUAUACAUAUAUAAAACUCUCAUACAAAAUUGUUCGAUCUGUUGCUAAUCAUGCAUGCGCGUACGUACGGCAACAACCACGGAUAUGAUGCUUAAUUUGCAAUCGGUGCGAAGAAAGGCGUCAGGCAAACUGUCGCAUCGUUUUUAAUUGCAGGGUUAGUUUGAUUCAAAUUCAUAAGAUGUCGUCAGUUGCAGCUGCAAACUAAUCAGAAAGUGACGGGUCGGACGAUCGAGAUCGAUAGGCUGGCUGGUAAUCUCGAUCGACAGGAUUGAUCACGACCUAUACACAAAUCAAAUUGGAUUUAAUGAAUUGCUUGUUAACACGUACUGCUAAUUAACUAACUAAUGCUACGAAUCAAUCAAGUGGCAGCCAAGUACAGCCAGCGGCAGCGAUCGAUAUGAGUGACCCCCCCCCCCACAGUACUUUUGCCCCUCUUUUUAAGAAAAAAAAAAGAUCGGGGCAAAUUCGUUUCUGUCGCUGGUUCAGAUUCUAAUACUGAUUUUAUCUUUUUUUGGUUUUCGUUUUUGCGCUUACUUUUUUAAAUUGAACGAACCGGUUGCCCCUCCUUUGAAUGAAGGACUAACGGUGUUAAAUGACAUGUUAAAUGACUAUUUUACCCCUUACAAGAAUAUCAUUUUGAUCUUUUUUGUCAUUUGUGUUGUUACAAAUGACAUGUUUAAAAACUUAUAGUUUUUUAAAAAUAUUUGACAGAGUUUCAAAACUAUGUCAAAUUUUUUUAAAAAAAUUAUAAGUUUUAUAGAAAUAUACAAAAGCAAUAUAUUAUUAGUUCAAAUGUUUAAAAACUUAUAAUUUUUAAAUAGGGGUAAUUUCGUCAUUAAUUAUUUGAGAAUUAAAUCUUUUAUUUUUUUAAACUAAGUAUAUUGGUCAACUAACGGUCAACGUAACGUCCAUCCAAAAUAGGGGCAAACGGUUCAUUCGGUUAAAAAAAGAGGGACAAAAACGAAAACCCUAAAAAAAUGAGGGAUAAAAUCAAUAUUAGACUUGAAAAUCAGGGCAGGAACGAAAUUGUUCCAAAAAGAUUUUAUAUUUUGCCCAUGACCAUACCGACACUUAGACUACAUUUAAUUUGGGUGGUUAAUUAAUAUGAGGGUAAUAAUGAUAACCCUUUGUUUCCUAUAUAGUUAAUUAGCAUGAGAGUCUGGAUAUUAUUUGUAUCUACUUUGAUAGCUCGUUCCUAUUUAAAUUUUGACUGUUCGUGCUUCUUAGAUAAGGGAUUAAAACCCGGUCUCUAUGUCCAACCCUCCCAUGUCUCUGUCCAUGCAUGGAGUGCAUGAUUAAGUCACAAAAAUUAAACAAUGACUUGACCAGUACCUGAGAUGUAAGGAUUAAUGAAUAAUAUUGUUGACUUUUUCCGAUCAAACUAUUAAAAUUUUGACCGUAAAUAGCUCUUUAAAAUAUUCGGGUUUUUAUUUAAAAGUACCUUUACAGUAUAAUAAUUUUGUUGGAUAUUUUCAUUGCCAGUGGCAUGUUGGUGCAUCGUAACGAGCCAUAUAAUUAGGUCUAUAGCGGAAUAUUGCAAUAGGUCAUAUAACGAAGGAUAUGCCCACGUUAGACUCAUAGAGAAAUUUAACAAACCGUUUAUUUCUGAUUUUGCUGGGAAUCGAUGGUGCCAUGCCAAGAAGGAAAAAAAAAGAAGACAAAUAAUGACUAUAUAUUUUUAAGUAGGAGAGAGAUAUUUUGUUUGAAUAGAUAUAUGUCUUAAACUAGCUAGUCCUAAUAUAUCAUAAUUGAAGUUGAAGUUAUAUUAAUUAGAGCAUAGGGGUAAAGUUCGUACCGGGCUCUAUAACCCGACAACUAAGUGAUGCAUUACAAUAUAAUCAUAGUGAUGUAGCACCGGUGCGCACAGAAAGAACGACGGUGAGACAUGAACUCGAGGAGGCUUUAGACAUUACAAUAUAAUCAUAGUUAUGUUGAUGGGAAAGAGAAAACAUGCAUGAUCCGAGCCCGGGGAUUAGGCUAGGCUUUCGCGAAAACUCUUGACAAAUAUUGUUUGUUCCUAUAUCGUUCUGACGUACAUCAGCAAGGUUAGUCGUUGUUUCUCCAUAUCAGCUAACUUUUAUAAACAAAAAAUUAUAAUUAAAAAAAUAUUUGUCAAAAUUAUGUAUCAAAGACCGAAAGGAAUUAAUAGUGUCAUGUAUUUAAACAUCGAUAGACAUUUUGAUCAAAUUAUCAAAAGUAAAUAUUUAAAAACGUGCAUUACAAACUAUAGAUUCAGCAUCAUUAUUUUUUCAUGAAACUAUAGAUUUAAGACAUUGUCACACAGAACUAUAGAUUUAAUAUCCGUUUUAUUUAGAAAAAAUAUUGCUAAAAUCUAAAGAGUAAAAUAUGUAUGUAGUUCUUUUAUAAAUUCAUCGAUAUAUGUAUUUUUUGAUAAAUUUAUGCUAAACUUUAGUUUUAUGAUACACAUAUUUAAAUAUAUAGUUUUAGGAUAUUUUAAUUAGUCUUGUAAAACUGAAUCUAAAAACAAACUGAGUUAAAAAAAUUACUAAACGAUGCAUUUUUUACAAAAAAAUUUCUAUAGAAAAGUUGUUUUUAAAAAAUCAUAUUAAUCUAUUUUAUUUUUUUAAUAAUUAAUAAUUAAUUAAUCAUGAACUAAUCUAUUACUACGUUUUUCAUAAUUAGCCAUAAGUGCUACAGUAACCUAUGUGUGCUAAUAACGGAUUAAUUAGUUUCAGAAGAUUCGUCUCACAGUUUCUAGACGAGCCGUGAAUUCGUUUUUUUUAUUCGUGUCCAAAAACUCUUUCCGAUAUCCGAUCAAACGUUUAAUGUGACAUGCAAAAAUUUUUAUUUCCCCAACUAAGGUAGUGUUUGGGACAAGUGACUUAUUUUUAGUCCCUUGUCCCAUCAAAAUAUAUGAACACUUAUUAUAAAUAGUAAAUAUAGAUUAUUAAUAAAACUCAUUCAUAACCUUGGACUAAUUCGCGGGACGAAUCUAUUGAGCCUAAUUAAUCCAUAAUUAGUCUAUGUGAUGCUACAGUAAACAUACUCUAAUUAUGGAUUAAUUAGGCUUAAAAAAUUUGUCUCGCAGAUUACCACUCAUUUAUAAAAUUAGUUUUUUUAUUAGUCUAUAUUUAAUACUUCAAAUUGGUGUCUAAACAUUCGAUGUGAUUUUAACCCUAUCUAAACAACUCCUAAACACCCCCUUACGAUCUUUUUGAGCAAGUUUAAUAGUAUAGCCAGCUACUAGUUAUAAAUCAGCUAUAGCCAAUCUAAUAGUUAAUUCAUACAAUAGUUAUCUAUAAAACCUUAAUACAAUGUCCUAUAUGUCAUACACACACUGUGUCUUGGAGUCCGUGCUACAGUUGGCUAUAAAGUAAUAACUCACUACUCUUCUCUCUUAUCUCUUACAUCUUUAAAAUAUGUUUAUAACUGAUUUAUAUGUUGCUAUGGUAUCUGCUCUUAACUGGUAUAUAUAGAUACAUAGGUACUACGUGUCACUUUGCGUCUGAUUGGCGCUGCUAAAUGCGUGGAAGCAAGUGAUCGAUCUAAUCCCUCAAAAGCUGUGCCCUCUUGAUCCAACGUGCAUCAUAAUAUGAUGCCAAUUGCUUGCAACAAAGCGUGCACCUAGUAGCUUACUUUUGCUCAACAAACUUCUCCAUUUUCCACACCUAUAUCCUUUUAGCUAUAGCUAAGCUAGCCCUAACCACAAAGAAAAAUUGCACCAAAUUAAGAGGAAAAACGUCAAAGUAUAUACAUAAGCAUACAUAAGGCGCCCAUCUUUUUAUUUAUUAGAGAAAUAAACGAAACAAUAUAUUUAUAAACGAAAAAUAAUUUGUGGAUAAAAUUUUUUAUACGCGUGUCCUGAACGAUCUAAAAACCAAACCUGAAAAAUAAACUAUGAUGAAAAACAUCAAAAAUCAACACUAAUUUAUGGUUAAAAAUUUAAAUUUUGGUUUAUGAGUAUAGGUAAAGAGAAAAGACGAGAGUGAUAUAUGCUUAGCCAUGGUGAUACCAAAUUCAAGAAAAAACGUGGAAUAACUUCACGACGUCUAGAUGAUCCUAAUUUGUGAAAUACUCAUCCAUCCAUGAAUGUAAGUAUUUUCUUUUAUCCUUUAAGACCCACGUGUACAUAUCAAUAUAAAAAUAGAAAGCUUAGAAUAUGCUCUACAUUAUCAAAUCUCAGUAUACUUUGUCCGCUUCUUUAUCUACUUCCAAUGUAUUUGUUUUCUACUAUCACAAAGUAUAAUAUAAUAACUCCUUAAAGAUAAAUUUAUUUUGGGACAAACAAUAAGGCAAAACGUUGGUGCUAUUUUAGAAGAACAGAUGCAGUGAAGAUUAAGGAGAACGAGAAAAGUAACGAGGGCCACGUUCGCCCCCGCCCAUUAGUUAACUUACCUCUCUCGUUUUCAACGCGCACACUUCCCAAACAGCUAAACGAUGUAUAUUUUUUGUAAAAAUUUCCUAUAUAAAAGUUAUUUUAAAAAAUCAUAUUAAUCUAUUUUAUAUUUUUUAACAAUUAAUAAUUAAUUAAUCAUAUACUAAUCUAUUACUACCUCCGUCCCAUAAUAACCUCAUUUUUCGUUUUUCUGUGUCCAACAUUAGAUCAUUCGUCUUAUUUAAAAUUUUUUGGCGAAUAAUAUUUUUAUUGUUACUUGAUGAUAAAAUAUGAAUAGUACUUUAUACGUGACUAAUUUUUUUAAGUUUUUGUACAAAUUUUUUAAAUAAGACGAAUGGUCAAACGUUAGACACGGAAAAACGAAAAAUGAGGUUAUUAUGGAACGGAGAUAGUACUAUAUUUUCCGUAUCAGGUAAGUUAACAUACCACCCCGUCUUGCCGAACGGGGCCUAGGUCAGCUCCUGAUUGGCCAUGAGGAAGGUGGUGGGAGAAAUUUUAAUGAUGACUAUAUCCUAAUUUGUGAAAUACUAUAAAAAUGCAUGUAUUUAUGUACAAAUUGGAAAAUGUAUGAAUGCCUGUAUUUAUGUAUAAAUUGGAAAAUGUAUGAUUGCUUAUAUUUAAGUACGAAAGGAUUACAUGCAUCACCCUAACUGACAUGUUAGUAUACCAAAAACUGCUAGCUAGCAUCUAUAUAUAUAUAUAUAAAGUGCGUGAUACAGAGAUCAAAAGCACGUUUAUCUAUGGUGGUAUAUAAUGUGAUUUUGCAAGUUGAGAAGCUUAUCGUUGAAUUUACGAUCAUUGAAUUUGCAUUAGUCUCUCUUAUGGGGUGCAUUAGCAUUAAGGAUUCAACGGUCUCUGCAAGAAUAGUGAUCUCCAACACACAAAUUAAUUAGUAACUAAUUAACGUCAGAGUGGUCUCGAUGGAUCGAAGAGGAUGACGAUGAUAUCUAUCCACAACUUUUUUGACAAGUCGCAGUAAACCACCAAUUACAGGGAUGAGGUGAGAAAGAACAAUUCUAAAGCCAAAACUUUUGGAUCGAUCGGAGUAUGCUUUUGCUAGUCAUCAAACAUCAAACAGAUGACACAAAAUAUAAUAAUCAAAAAAUUAGAGAGAGAGGGAGAGAGUAGGACGCAAGCAUGCAUACUUCUCUAGAAGCCCUUGUGUGCAUGCGUGGUGGAGGCCGGGAUAUGCUUAAUUAUGCCAAUAUUCCAAAACAUGCACUAAUUAAAAACAUAUAUAUAUUUAUAUUAUAUAUGAACGCACAUGGUCUAGCUAGCUACACAUCGCUACUACCACUAUAACCCUCUUUGAAAGGUAGGUUUUGACAAGACCUAAAGGCUCAAUUAACGCCAUAAUUAAGAGUGACUGAAAUAAGGAUAUAAUUAAUCGAGCUUUAAAAAUUGCCAAGUUAAAUAACAUACGCUUAAGAUAUAUAGAGAAGAUCGAAAAAAAAGUGAGCUAUACAUUUAUAAUAAUCCUUUGUAGCAAUAUAUUUAUACUGACUGUCGUACUGACUAUAGAUAAAGUAUUAUUUUACAGAGAUAUGGGCAAUUUCGUUAUUACUCCUGUUUCGAUCUCUAAUACUAAAUUUAACUCUUUUUUUAGGGUUUUUAUUUUUACCCCUAUUAUUUUGAACUCAAUCCAUAUGUUGCUCCUGUUUUGGAUGGAGUAUACUAACGGUGUUAAGUUAGUCAUUAAAGUAGCAUUUUACCCUUUGUCGAAAAUUUUAUUUUUAUCCAUGUAUUCUCGAUGGUGCUUCUAUUGAUAUGCAUACACCGUUGUAAUUUAGAACAUAGGGCAAAACUGCACAUGAUAAAAUAUAAAAGAAUAAAAAUAAAAUUUCUAACAAAGAGUAAAAUGGUACUUUAAUGGCCAGUACCAUCCAUAUAAAAGAGGGGCAAAUUAUUGAUUCAGUUAAAAAAAAUAGGGAUAAAAAUAAAACCCUAAAAUGGAGAGUGUAAAAUUAAUAUUAGAGAUCAAAAUAGGGGUAAAGACAAAAUUAUCCCAUAAAUAUAUGUUCCAAUAAACUAUUAUCUGAUCCAACCCUUGGACAACAUAUCAACCAUGCAUUGCAUGCAUGCAUGGAGCGUCUACACGUCGCUGUCUUAUCUGCAUCGAUCGGUAGGGCUAACUGUGAAAUGGUUUGGUAUUGCAUGCUUUGUCUUAAUUUGUUAGGCCUUGAUCCAAUCCAAUGCAAUUAAACGAUGAGCAGCUAUAGCACACAGGUCGGCGCGUCGUAUACAUCGAUCUAUUUUGACUGCUCUCUCUUGGAGACUCUGCCUAUCUAUUUAUGUAUAGUAGCCAGCUUAACUAAUUCUUUUCUUCACCGCGUGGUAGUUCACGAUACUAUUAAUCACACGAUUCAAACGUGUGCAAAACAAAUAAAAAAUUGAUUGGUCAUCUAUUUGAGAACGGAAGCAAGUAUAUAUGAGCGAUUUGGUGUGAUUCUUUGUCGUCGUGUAAGACUGUCUAUGAAAGAAUUAAUGGGUUGAGAAGAAAGCGAUUGGGAGAGCUACGCAUGCAUACCAAUCAAAUUGAUACAGUAUGCUAUAGGACGAUCUUAGAUAUAACAAGGUCUGUUUAGCAGAGCUUCAACUCUUAAAUAAAUUCUAGAAGUAAAAUCCAAAGUAAAGCUAUUGAAGUAUGGAACUGCUCGAAUAUAGCUAUAUCUCUCUAGUUUAUUUUUUUUAUUUAUAUUACUCUAGGGUUGUUCCACUCCCUUUUUUUAUAGAGUUGAAGCCGUUUGAUUGAGCUCUAGCUCUAAAACAGGUGAAGCUAGAGUUGAAGUUGUACCAAUCAAGCCCUAAGUAUUGAUAUAGAUUGUAGAUCUAGGUUUCAUUCUGACCAAUUAUCGACGAUCACUGGGUUUUACCACAUGUAUUUGUUUUAAAUUAAAAUGAAAUCGUUUGGAUUGAUCGUACAUUAGCAGUUUUAUCUUUUCAUUUCUUGUUAUGCUUAUAAGCCAAAAUUUUAAUUUUUAAUUUUAAAUUUAGAGUUGAUCUUGGGUUUUUUCAUCGUGGUUUAUUUUGCAUUAUUUGCUUCUAGAUCGUCAAGAACACGUAUAUAAAAUUUCUAUUCAUAAAUAAUUUUUCUUUUGUAGAUAUGUUCUUAUGUUUUUCCUCUGAAAAAGCGAAAAUAUGACCACCCCAGCUAUAUAUCCACCGGCGGCUCAAAAGCUAUUAACCGGCCGGGUGCCGCCGAGAUUUUUGAUUCUUGUACACCAAUCAACUCCAAUAAUUUACUGUUGCAAGUGUAGCUGAUGUGAGGCUCCUUUCAACGCAAGCAUGGUUAACUAACUAAAGACCACACAUCAUAUAAUUAAAUUAACCAAUUAAUGGCUUUGUGAAAAAGAAGAGGGCAUCUUUCAUUGUCAUUUUGGGGGAAUUGGAUUCAGGAUAAGCAAAUUAAAGCUACGUUAAUUGCGCCUCCUUCCCAUGUUUAGGGUAUUAGAUUCUCUGUGAUUUAAUUAGUUCAAUUCACUACUGCAAGACGUUAUAGGAAAAAAGAACAAAAGGAAAAGAAUGGCUAGAAAAGCCACUAGAAUGGUGUAGGCGACGUGUUCAUUCCCUAGUCCACAAACAUGCACGUAAUUAAAUACAACGAAAUAUAUAUAAUGUUCAAUUUCAUCAAUCAAGUUGUUUUCUUGGCAUUGUUCAGGGGUAUCUAACUUGGUACUCCUUCUAUAUCAAAGUAUAAAUAUUUUUAAUAUGUUUAAUAGAUUUAGGUUGAGAAGAAAAACUUUAGGCCCCCUUAAUAAAGGAGGGAUAUGAUAGGAGGGGAGUGAUAGGUGUGAUCUAUGCUUCUUUAAAAAUAAUUAGUGACGGUGAGAGUGAAUCUGUGACCACACGUACUCUCAUUAUGAAUUUAACACAUUACCCUUGAACUUCUUACUAUUAAAAAACAAUCAAAUUCAAAAGGACAACUGCAUAUGACAUCAUCGAGUUAGGUUUGAAUAUUGCUUAAAGAAAAAACGAUGGGUAACGCGUAAUACGAAAAUAUAUUUUUAUUUAUUUUAGAUAAUAUUAUAAUAUAUUUUCUUUUAUGCAUAGCAAUACAGGGGUAUUAAGCUAGUAGUUCUACAAAUGCUUACAUUGCAUGUUGACCAAGAUUGAAUUUUAUAAAUGUUUAUAUUUUAAAUAAAGAGGAUAUAUUUAUUUUAUAAGGAGUAUUUAGUUUUAAAAAUGUUAAAUACUCCCAUGGAUUCUUCAGUUCUCACACAAGAAAGUAAUAAAACAAUUGCCCAUUAUAAAAAUAAUAACACAUGGGCCUGCAUGAAACUGCAAAGGUUUUGCACACUUACUAGUAGCUGGGCCAGCAAAAAAGUUGAGCCCAACAAAGGCCCAUAAAGAAAAGCCCAUCUCUGGCCUUGCUGCGUGCUAAUCUUCACAUCUCCUUGGGACACGCCUUUCUGCAUUUUUGUAACAGGGGUACUAUUUUGAUUUUAGAUACGUGAUUCAUUUCAGCCUUCGAUUCAAAUAAACUAAAGACGAUUAUCAUAAACAUUACAUGUCAAAACGACUGAAAAUUACAAAAUUAGUUUGAUGGCAGCCGACGAGAACUAACUGGAAUGGCAGCGCAAAGAUUGAACCUAAUCCCUUACCCAUGGUUAACGAAAAUAUAAUCCCUCCGUUUUUUUAUCUGACACCGUGAAUUUCUGAUUCUUUUCUUUUCAUAACCAUUCGUUUUAUUCUAAAAUUUUAUAUAAUUAUUUAUUAUUUUCUAUGAUUUGAUUUAUACUAAAUAUACUUUAAACAUUACUUAUAAUUUUACAUAUUUAUAAAAAAUCUUAAUUAAGAUGAAUGGUUGGUAGAUCUAAAAGUCAGUAGUCGCGUUAAAUAAAAUAAAUCGAAGGAAGUACAAAAUUUGUGGGUUGUUAGUUCUCGUCCUUCUCAGACCUUUACGGCCGGGUUUCAAGGUCAAAACCAGCGGAGAACCUGUAAUAAUCGAAGUUGCCUUGUCCUUUUGAGAUAUGUCGUUGCCUGUAUUCCAUUUGAACCCGACAUUUGCAAAUAAAACUCACGAAAACUCCUGACCAUUUAGGGCACGUAUAAAGAUGCCUAUUACUCUCUUAAUCGUCACGUAAGCAAAUUUGGUGAUAUGAAGGAAAGAGAAGGAAGGAGAGAGAAAAGCCGUUGCUAUGCAUGACAACGGCUUGGAGUCGACUGUUAGCAUUUAUUAAAUGAAACUUUCUUGUAUGAGAAUGUAUAAAAAGGAAACUAGCUUAAUAAAAAAUAUUUUAUUAAAUUAAUGAAGAAACUACACCUGACUUUACCUUUAUACGUAUUAUUAUAAAAUAUACUCUUGUUGCUGACGUGGCUUAAAAUAGAGUCCACAACGGGCUCUACCUUUAAACAUGCUCUUAGCCGAUCAGAUUUUCACAACACUGAGUACUACUGCCACCUCUUUCUUGAUUUAUGGUAUCCCUGAUUUUACUAAUGUAAUUGUGUUGGUAGCUGCGGUGAUUGUUUGGUUUUUUCAGAUAAAAGUUAAAUGAUAUAUUUAUAAAUAAAAAAUAAUUUGUGAGUAAAAUUUUUUAUAUAUAUGUUCUUAGCGAUCUAAAAGCUAAGUCAGAAAAAUAAACUAUCAUAAAAAACUUUUAAAAUUAACUCUAAUUUUAAGGUUAAAAAAUUAUGUUUUGGUUUAUAGACGUAAGCAUAAGCGAAAUAUAAGGCGAUGUUUACCACAGUAUCGAAUCUUGGGUGUGCUUCAGCUUGUUAGGCGAUUUGUUUAGGUGAUUUAUGUAACUGUCGCAAGCCGCAUUUUUCUUCUCUCUACCUCAACAUAAAACUAUGUUACCUUGACAGGAGAAAAUAAAACCUGACAAAUUAACCUUUCAUCGUAUUGGCCAGAAGCUUCCGAGAAAUAAAAACAUGACAAAUUAACUCCUCCGUCUCAAAAUAAAAUAAUCUAGUAUUGAAUUAGAUAUAUCCCAGUAUUAUAAAUCAACAUAAACCCAACCAAAUUCGCAUUACUAAAAUAUAUCUAAUUUAUAACGAGGUUUAAAUGUUUUGGAACGAAAUUAGUACGGGCGAAGAAGCUUCUACAACCUGAGGCGAUACACGCUCUGACGACGCAACAAGUGGCCGGAGGCAGGCACAGUAAUACUCCCUCCGUCCCAAAAUAAAUCAAUCUUUUAUUUUUUACCUACGAUGUUAAUUCUUCAUUUUAUUUAAAAAAAUUAUAAUUAAUAUUUUUAUUUUUAUUAUAUGAUAAGCCAUAAAUAGUACUCUACGUGUGACUAUUUUUUUAUAAUUUCUUUAAAAAAUUAAAUAAAAUAGAUGGUCAAAAGCUAUAUAUGGAAACAAAAGAAUUGGUUUUUCGUGAGGCAGUGGGAGUACUUAGGCCUUGUUUAUUUUCCAAAUUUUUUUUUAAAAACAUCACAUUAAAUUUUUAGACAUCUAAAUAAAACAUUAAACAUAGAUGAAUCAAGAAACUAAUGCACAGUUACGAAAGAAAUCUUGAGAUGAAUCUUUUGAGCCUAACUAGCCCAUGAUUAGUCAUAAGUGCUACAGUAACUAACAUGUGCUAAUGACGGAUUAAUUAGGCUCAAAAAAUUUGUCUUGCGGGUUCUAGGAUAGCCGUAAAAUUCGUUUUUUCAUUCGUGUCCGAAAACCCCUUCCGACAUCCGAUUAAAUAUUUGACGUGACACUUCUCUCAAAAAUUUUCUCAAUCUAAACGCAACCUCAAUUACAGUGUUGUCAGGUCAGUCAGUCCCAUGUCGAUCGAUCGGAUCAGCAUCCGUCUGUCCAUGUCUUCACAUACCAGUACUUGCACUGAGUACACUCACUGUAUCAUCUAACGUACAAUCGGAUGAUGCAACGUUUUGCUCGUUUUCCUGAAUCAAUUAGUUAGUCUAUUAUUAGUUAGUUUGCUAACAGUAAAAGCAAUUAUUUCAGCAACGCAUGCAGCGUCCUUCCAAGAUGGAAAAACAGCUCGGAAGCAGUGUGACACUCACAUCAUGCAGCUGCCCAGAUAAGUCUUGAGUCUGGGCUACUACAGCAAGCAUAUCUCUGGCUGAUCUUCGUUGUAGUAUCAGCUAGCUGUGAGGUUCUUCUAAUCUAGUUCUGCAUUUUUUUCUCUCUGAACUCGAUCAAGCUUUGUUUGUUCUGUUCUAUUCUGUUCUGUUCUGUUCUGUUUGUUUGUUUGUUUGGAAGAUAAGUUUUUCCCCAGAGAUACUGAUCAACUAAGCUGUAAACUCUCUUAAGGAUCCAGGACUGUAUGGCCUUGGUUCUGAAAGGAUCUUGGCUCUGAAAUGUCACCUCCCUGCUCCUUUCAGAAAUGACAGUGGCCAUGUCAAGCUCGCUGAAUAAUAUAAUGAUCGGCUUUAAUGGCGAUGCGCAUUGUUCCUAACCGCUCCACGAAACUUGCUUCCAUGUUUGCAUUUCAGUGACAAGGUAGCACAUGAAAUGUGUUUUCUUUCUUAUCAUCAAUGUGUCCAUGGUAACAUUGACUGAUAAGUUUUGUGUUUUGGGUUUCCCUCUGAUGGUCUCUCACAUGAUCUCUGUACACUGUAAAAACAAAGUCAAUAACUCUCACAACAACUUGUGCAUAUCCUGAAUGGUUACCAUGGACCAUGGCCAUGAAAUGUAAUCAAGAUCAAUGAUUAGCAUGUUGCGGUGGCCCUCAGGCAAGAUCCGGAUUCUUUUUCCAUGUUAGUUCAGAUAGAUCUGACUGUGUGUUGUACAUUCCCUUUUGGCCCUUGCACACCAAGAGCAUUGUCAGGAUGCCCUUGUUUCUGUAUAUACUCAUUUGGAUCUACAAACGCCUUGUAUCUCUCUCAGAUUUCGGGGUGUGCGUCAACUGUAGACUGUCAGAUUAAUUGGACUCUGGACUUAUCUCCAAAAUGCAUAAUGAUUCUUCAGUCUCUGAACACACCGAAGUCUGAAAACCAAACCUAUAUCUGAACUGAACCUGAACUCCAGAAAAAAAUGGAAUGAGAUCUUUUCAGUGUCAAAUCACCCAUAGGUCUUCAUCUGCUUGCUUGCUUGCUUGCUUUAUGGCUCACAUGAUUGCUGCAAUGCAAAUUCUGUAGGGUUUAAACACAAAACUCGAUCAUUCACACAGUGCCACACUUCGAGGAGAAAGCAUGUGAGGCUUAGAUAACUUAUUUGGUGCUGCCAUAGGUUUCAGGCGCAUGUGAGUUCUGGCAUCUUGUUAGCAGAGGAUACUCUGCUUGGCUUGAUUGUUUGGUAGGAAAAGAUUGUACUGCUCAUGAUUCUCUUGCCUAAUUGCUGAAGCAUUCAUGGACUAUCAUCGUACUUACUUGGGUUUUCUUAGUCAUUUAACUGAUUAGGUAGAUUAGUUUACUCUGCAAGUGGUGUCACCAGAUGAUUUAGACCAUGUUGAGUUAGUUCAGACAAGUACAUCUCUAGGAUAAUAAACUUCCAUGAAACUGUCAGUUAAGAUGAUAAUGAUGAUGAUCUUAGUCAUUUAAUAACCAUCCAGCUGCUGUUAGAAACAACUCUUACAGAAAGGCUAUGUUAGUUGUUUAUAAAUAUAUAUAUACAUCCCAAAUAAUGAUCCAACUCUAAAUCUGAACUCUAUAUAUUAUAAUACCGAUUUCUGUGGAUCUUGUCAAUUCAUUGGUCAGGAGACAGAGAGAACUCUUGAUCAGCCAUUGCAUAUGCUGUGAUUGGCUGUCUAACUAAUUAAUCAGAUCUGCAUUUCUAAAAAACAAAUUCUGCAUCUCCCAGCUACAUCACUAAACUGUCAUCACUAAGUACUCGGUCACAAUAUAAAAUGGAGGUCUCUCUCUGUAUCUGCAGUAGUAGCUAGAGCCAAGUCUGUGCCCCUCGCAUCCUAGAUCUUCAUUUUCUUUCAGGCACAACCAUGCAUGUCUGCACAGUUUGGUAGGAUAUCAAUUUUUCAUUGAUGUAUAAUAUUAUUAUCUUAUUAACUAAAUAGUAUUUCACUAUACGUAACAAUGCACAUAUGUAUGAAAGUUAGGCUCGGUUUCAUUUGUGCUGCAUUACUAUUUCAAGCAAUUUUUUAAUUAACUACUACACCUUGGGCUGUCAAAUUCGUUAUGCAGAGUGAGAUUGCAAUUGUUGGGUUCUUUCUUAAGCAUCCAAUUCCAAAUUGAUCUUAGCAUUGGUCAAGGUAGUAUUUUGAAACAAUUUUUUUAAGAUAAAACAAAACAGAAAACAAAUGUGGCACACAAGACACAACCUGUAUUUCAAUUAGAGACUGCCACUGUACAGCAUGCACACUGACUAGUCAACCAUCAGUGCUCAUGCUAGCUAGGGAGGUGAUAUUAUAUGACAAAUACUGUACCAGUUCUUGACAAACAUUGGAUACUUCUCCCACAUUUUCCAUUUGAUACAAUUGAUCGGUCAGCAACCAAUAAACUGAAUGAUUUUGUAUUGCAAGCAAAAAAAAAGGAAAAGAAUCCUCCAUGUUGGCUGUGUUUUUAGAUGAAGGAUGAAAAAUGAUAGAUUAUCUGAUUUUUUGAUAAAUACUUAAUGGUGUAAAUGAUGAAUUUAACUACAAGUUAAAAAUCUGUCUUAGAAAGGUGAUAUGGUAAACUUGUAUAUAAAAACAUUUUAUAAAAAACACACCAUUUAGCAUUUUGAAAACGUCCGUGCAAAAGUUUAGGAAAAAUCAACCGUUGUAGCAUAUGAUUCCACUCACAGUACCUAUUUGGAAUGCAUGAAAUUUUCCUGGUUCUGUGUUUUGAAUAAUCUGACUGACACUCAGCUCGCAGACAUCUUAUGAAAUUCUUACAUUUCAAAUGGGUUUUCUCACCUUUAAGGGCCUCUUUAAUUCAAAAUAUUUUCAAACCGUAGGAAUAGGAAAAAUAUAGUAAUAUCAUAGGAAUGCACAUGAAAAACAAAGAAAGAAAUUUUUUCUUCAAUGAGCUAAAUAAAGAGGAUGAACUGGAUGCUCUUAUUCCUAUGAAUUAGUAUAUUUUGGAGGAUUGGUACAUGAUUCCUAUAGGAAUUUUUCAUUUGAAUCAUGUGAAACAAAUGCAUAAACAAUGUUUAUUUCAAAGGAAUAGAUAUUUCCUAUAUAUGGUUUUACUUCAAAACGAAUAAAAACAAUUCUGAAGAUAACAUGGAAAUUAAAAAGAGUGUUUUUACAGUACUCCAAAUUACAUCUAGAGAGGUAAGAGCCCACGACAAAUCCUAGCCCUUUGAUUAUUCAUGAUCCUUUUUUAUCUAACACAAAUUACAUUUGUCCUUCCGUUGAUGAAUCAUACCUAAAAAGGUAAACUACUAGUCUACUACUACCAGAGAUGGUUUUUUCUCCAAACAAUUUUAUAGUACAUGAGAAUGUAUCAGGAGAUAUCAGGUAUCAAAUUUUAUACUAAAAUUUUGGUAUCUCUCAGUACAUGCCUAAGUAUUGUAAAAUUGCUAUUUUUCUCCUAAUUAAUCACUCAUGAAUGCAGCCUACCACAAAUUUGAAGGAAAAGUCCACCAACAAAGCAACGUUCGGUUUCCGGUUUGAUUUUUCGAAUAUCUAAUAUAAACGGAGAUGGUUCCUUUUUAGUCAAGUAAAUAUAGAUGUGCAAGACUAUUUCUGUAAAGUUAAAUGAUGUACUCCAAAGACUCAGAUUACGUACGGAACAUAGUAGUAUAUAAUUAAAAAAAUCACGAACUAAAUUUUUAGUCUUCAAAUAGAAUCUAUUUUCUAACUAGCUUAUGUGCUUUGGUUAUAAAACGAAGCUUCUUCUUCAAAUUAUAAUUUGAAUAGUGAUUUUUUUAAAACUGAACUUUAUUUUUUCCUAUUAUUUAGUACCGUAUUAUGAAUUUUAAAGCUGAAAUUGUAUCACUCUACCUUCAAUAUCCGCAUGAGUCCUCUGUCAUGUAAAGUAUGUUAGCAACUUCGUCCAUAUUUCCAUUCUCACUUUAUAUAAAAGUGUUAAAUUGUGUACACCAUUGUUAUAGUGAUGAAUUUAUAAGCUGGUCUUCUCCUACAAAACUUUAGGGGGUAAUAAAUUACCCAUUAAAACAAUUCCUGGAUCAUAUGCAUCUCAACCAACACCUUAUUACAGGCCACACAGAAGGGUUGGGGUGUUACAGAAUAAUGAAAUGUCAACACUUCCUUUGGGCUGCAAUACCUUAACAGUACAAUACAAAAUGACAAUACAUGUCAUCUUAAUUACCCAUUGGGUUAGUGGGUAAUGAAUGUCCUACCCCUGCUCCAAAAUAAUAAACUGCUUAGGUCGAUUUCAAACAAAUCAGUACUCAAGUAAAAUAACAUCUAUACCCCUAUUUAUAACCUGUUGGUGAGAGAAAGAUGUGCUAACAUUAGACCCCAACAUUUACAAUAAUUAUGUAUGGCUCUGUUUACACUUUUUUCUUUCCAUUCAAGUCCUAAAAUAGUCAUUUAUUUUGCGGCAAUAUUUUUCUUAUCUUGGGACAUGCAUGGGAGAGUAUAAAAUAAUUUGGUGUACCAUAAAGAAAUCAUGAAACUAAUAAUCUUGUACCAAAAUUUAAUACAGAUAUAAAAAAUGACAAGUCAUGCUUAAAGUUUUUUUUGAUAAUAAAAUAAGUCACAAGCAAAAUAAAUGAUAUUUCUGUAAUUUUUUUAAAUAUGAAAAAUGAUCAAACUGCAAAAAAAAAAGUCAAACAUCUUAUAUUAUGAAAUGGAUGGAGUAAUAUACAACAACCAGAUUUAUUACAGAUUCUACCAUAUUACUGUCUCUGUUUCAUAUUAUAAGACUUUCUAGUCUUGUCUAAAUUCAUUCAUUGCUAAAUGUAUAUAAUUUAUAUAUGUGUCUAAAUUUAUUAGCAUCUAUAUGAAUCUAGGCAAUACUACUAGAAAAUCUUACGUUACGAAACGGAGAAAGUAAUUAUACUAUAACAUAGCAAGCUCCUGCUAUAUAUAUAAGUAACAAUUAACACACCACUGCAAGACGGCAAAGACUGUGGAGUCUCCGUUGUAUAGGCUUGCAUUGCAGCUCUACUAGGCUACCCUCCUCCAAGAAUUGCGCAAGCAAGCUAUCCGCAUUGCCGACGAUGUCUAGCCGGAGCAGGCCGAGGGCGCGGCCGUCGCCGGCGGCGAGGAUCACCGACGAGCAGAUCGGCGACCUCGUCUCCAAGCUGCAGGCUCUCCUCCCCGAGGCUCGCCUCCGCAGCAGCAACGACAGGGUACGUACGUACCUAGCCACCUAGCUAGCUCCUUUCUCUCCAAGCUGCACGUUAAUUGCAAGCUUGCGACGCCGGCCAUGGCCGCGCCGUCUCCGACGACGAUGAGCUUGAAUGAAUGAUUUGGUCGCGCGAGCGCUUUGCAGGUGCCGUCGGCGAGGGUGCUGCAGGAGACGUGCAGCUACAUCCGGAGCCUGCACCGGGAGGUGGACGACCUCAGCGAGCGCCUCGCCGAGCUGCUCGCCGCCGCCGACGUCAGCACCGCGCAGGCCGCCGUCAUCCGCAGCCUGCUCAUGUAGCCGCCGCCGCUCGCCGGCCGGCCGGCCACCGGUUUAGAGAUGAGUACGACGAAGAAGAGGGUUCAUUUCAUCCGUAGCUUAAGGUAGACGAGAGAGUGUGAGGCCGGCCGGCAUGGAUGUGUGCUUAAUUUAGUUUUGAUCAAGAUUAAUUACGUUAAUAAAAAAACUAUGAUUUUUUUGGUUAAUUUCUUCGUUCCUGUGUAACUGAAUAUUUUUGCUGUCUUAAUUUUGACCGAAAUGAACAUGCUACUAAAUUGCAAGGUACAUCUCUUUACCAUUCUUUCAGAUAUAUAUUACCAACAUGUACGGAUUCAGACCCCUGUAGCAAGAAAGUUCAAUUACUGGCAAGAAAAACUAUGGGGCUUGGCAUCCCCUGUAGUUUGAAAUUGCAUCUUGUUUGGAAUUUCACAUUGAUAUUACUACUUUAGCGAAAAUCUGAAAAAAAAAAAGACUCCAUUGGCCCUCCCCAACAAAGAGUUUUUAGUAUUUUUGGCUCAUCCACUUACCCGACCUAAUUGUUUUCGGAUUGGUUGAGACAACGUUGAUAUAUAAGCAGUAGAAAUAUAAACAAAGAAAAAACAUUAUUUAUAGGCAAAUCUUUUUUAUAUAAACAUUGUUAGGCGUUAAAAUACCCACAUAAUAAAUGAAAAAAAAAAUCUAAAAUCAACUCUAAACUUAAGUUUCGAAGUUUAAAUUUUACUUGCGGAUGAUAUAUAAGGAUGAGCACCGUCUGUGGUGAAAAAAUGGGCCUUUUUUCGCUAGAGAUCCUCCGGGUCGAAGAUAACAUUUUCAAUUGGUUCUAGCUAGGUUUUUUUUUUUAAAAAAAAAAGCUAGAUGAAGUGAAGUUCUACUCUACACAGGAUAUCCUUGUAGUCGAACAAAUCUGGAGGAUUUUUGCUUCAGAUAGAUAGUGUUUUUGGAUCUCUCCUUCCGACAGGGUCCCCCACUCUGCAAUAAUAAGCACUGCAGAGUCAAGUGAGCUCCUAGUGAAUUUUUCUGUCAUCUGCCGACCAGGUAGGUGCAUGUAAUUAAGCACACCUAGCUUAUUGCAUAUUGCAUUAUUGUGGCCUCACAUUUUGGGUGUGGAUUUCACUAAUUAAAUUUCUCCUGUUCUCAAAUUGAUCAUUGCAACAUAUGCCAGUAGCCGAACCUGCAUGGCAUCUAGCUAGCAUGUUGUCGUUAUUUAUUCACCAUUGGAAAAAUAGGGAAUGCUCCCGCUCUGUCAAAAAAAAAAAAGUAAAAACAAUUCUUGGCUACGAAGGAUUUUUAUUUGGGACGGAUGGAGUAGUUCUGUAAAUUAAGUUUAUUUUUUUUAAUUAAGUGAGAGUUUACAAUUUCAGCCUCUGCAUGAAUGAUAAACUUAGAAGAGAAGGAAAGGACGAAGUUAUAUUAUGUUCAGUGAAAAGGUUCAAAUGUAACUGUAUAUCCAGUUUUUUUUAAUAAAGAUUCAUAAGUUGCACACUGAUUAUUAUAGGCUGGGUUCGAUUUUAUGAUAUCUAGUUAUAUAUAUGUAAUCUAUUUUUCAGUGUUAAGUAAAUACUGCUUUGAGAAGCUAGCUAGAUCAAUCUCUCCAAGUUAACUAGUAAUUGCAAAAAGAAAAACACACUACAAAUUUCAUUUUAUGUGAUAUUGGUCCACGAGGACAGAUCCAGCUAUCACUUUUUUAGAGAAUGGUAUUUUUACUCGGCCUCUAUAUUCACUCGGAUAUAUGCAGCCAUUUUUUUAUUUUGAGAACUUUAGGAAAGUAGCCUAAUCCAAUUUGAAAUUCAUGCUCCUAUGGAGAUUUGAAUCCAGGACCUUGAAUGCUACUCAGGUCACUACAACCACUAGGCUAUAUGCCCUUUCG
Molecule: long non-coding RNA, 66126 nt
Filed under: Oryza brachyantha (malo sina)
Lineage: Eukaryota; Viridiplantae; Streptophyta; Magnoliopsida; Poales; Poaceae
Description: long non-coding RNA (OBRA_LNC002672)
Rfam family: MIR812 microRNA precursor family (bases 52060-52252)
Source: RNAcentral